RNAcentral lists this long non-coding RNA (88831 nucleotides) under Triticum aestivum (bread wheat). Its description in RNAcentral is "long non-coding RNA (TAES_LNC023923)". The stretch from base 3954 to 4079 matches the Rfam family "MIR1120/MIR1122 microRNA precursor family". Lineage: Eukaryota; Viridiplantae; Streptophyta; Magnoliopsida; Poales; Poaceae. The record is from RNAcentral.
UUUUUUUUUUGGUGAGAAACGAAUUAGUUUCUUGUUGUGUGCAAGUGUCUAGCAUCUUGCAACGAACUCUGUUGCCGGGCAAAGUUUUGCUUGCGCUGUGCAGGCGUCUGCUUCUUUCUCUGAAACUCUGACGAACGAAAUCUUCAGGUGUUGAAACACCAGUUUCAUGCAUUCUUUAGUCCUCGUCUCUGAACCAGUUGCAUACAACUCUUUGCAGUGCUGCCGUCUUUGAAUAGGCAGGUGAACUCGGUUAUCAUGGGCCUCGAGGUAGCAGGUGGCGGGGAAGCUGCAGUUAAGGUAUUUUCCUUCGUUCUGCAGGUUCAUCUGAUGGUUAUUGCACUGUUAUCAACUUUGAUUUGAGGGUUUUGUGCUGACUGCUGCUGCUCGUGUUUGACAGGGGAAGUUCUGGGGUAUAGUUGUCUGUUUUUUCUUGGGAAAUGGGAGCCUAUUUGCCUGGAACAGUAUGCUCACCAUCGAGGAUUACUAUGUCUCUCUGUUCCCGGUAUGUGUUUGCUUGUGAAACUCAGUUGCUUUUUGAUUAAAAUAUGUACGCAAAAGUGCGUCUCGUUUCGUUUCUUUUGAAUGUUGCAGUAGAUUGUUUAAUUGAUGAUCUGAACGAAGCCAGUAGUAUUCAGUAGCCUGAUUCUAGCACUUCUUUUUAUAUAAGCUAAAAGCGUCCUUCUGGAUUCGCUUGGUGUGUUUGGGUAAAUUAAGAAUUGUUAGUUUUACUCAUUUUAAUGACGCGGUUUAUCAUUUCUACCUUGCACUGUCUUAACUUGUUGAACUGAGAUGCCAAUUUGAUCCCUUCGUUUUGCAGAAUUUGUUGUGUCAAACAUUCAGAUUUUAUUACGUACAAUGACAUUUGACCUACGAUAUCUAUCUGCAGAAUUACCAUCCGACAAGAGUUCUUACACUAGUAUACCAGCCUUUUGCCUUUGGACUCACCUGCUUCUUUGCAUACUAUGAAGCAACGAUGAACACGAGGAAGAGAAACCUAGCUGGUUUUGCACUUUUCUUCCUUAGCUCUUUCGCAUUAAUAUUGGUAAGUAUAUUGGGUAUUGCCUUUUGCCUGGAAGGAAAAGAAUAACAUUGAUGUGCCAGUAUGGCAGCUCAUGUAAAUCAUUUUUCUUAUUGUAGCUGGACGUUGGUACUAAAGGACAUGGUGGAAUUCCAGCAUACAUUGGUGUAUGCAUAAUCAGUGCCUUUUUUGGGACAUCUGAUGCGCUUGUUCAAGGUGGCUUGGUUGGCGACCUUUCUUUGAUGUGCCCGGAGUUCAUUCAGGUUACUUUUUGGUCUAUUAUUGUACUUUGUGAUGUUUGGUUAACUUUUUCAUGUCUCAGACUGAGAAUAAUUUACCUUUCAUGACGUAAAUCAUCUAUUGGAAUUGCAGUCCUUCCUGUCAGGCUUGGCUGCAUCAGGAGUUAUAACAUCAGCUUUGAGACUAAUUACAAAGGCAGCUUUCGAGAACUCACAAAAUGGUCUUCGAAAUGGAGCUAGUACGUCGAAAUCUCAUCAACAUAUAUUAUUAUUUUUGGAUAAUGCGAGACAUCUCUGCCAACCUAUAUGAGCACACAGCCCAAUCUCAUCAACAAAUGCAGAUUCAGUAAAAUUGUGAUAAAAAUUUAAGAAUAGCAGAAUGCUAUAAAUCCACUAUGAUCAUAACAGUCAUCAGUGACAACGUAAAGAAAUCCAUUUCAGAACUUGCUCAUAUAACUUUCUACUAGAAUGUUUAGGUGCUUGUUACAAUCUUACUUGCAGAUCUCCUAAAAUAUCGCACCAUGCAUGUGCAUAACCAAUUCAUGUAUGAUUUUUUGUGCAGUGCUAUUCUUCUCGGUAACAUGCAUGUUCGAGCUAGCUUGCCUCCUCCUAUACGCAUUUGUCUUUCCCAAAUUACCCAUCGUGAAGUACUACCGCCAAAAGGCAGCCUCUGAAGGGAGCAAGACUGUUGGCAGCGACCUUGCUGCUGCAGGAAUCAAAACUGAUCAAGAUAGGCAGGUUUGUCUCUCUGAUCAUACCAAUGCCUACAAUGAAUCUUCUACGACUUUGCCAUGAGAAUGAAAUGUUGAUAUACUGAUUCACAGGUUGAGGAGGAUCCCCAAAAGCACGAACGUUUAAGCACCAAGGAGCUGCUGAUGCAGAAUAUAGACUAUGCUUUGGAUAUCUUCCUGAUAUAUGUCUUGACUCUAUCAAUCUUCCCUGGAUUUUUAUCCGAAGAUACUGGAUCACAUGGCCUGGGAACAUGGUAAUCUUUCUUGCACUUGUACCUGGCACCUACUUCUGCAGAAUUUACCUGGGAGUAUUGUCCAGUAUCUGACAUGUCAUUGUUCUGAUAAAAUUCAGGUACGCACUUGUGCUGAUCACGAUGUACAAUGUGUUAGAUCUGAUUGGUAGGUACAUACCACUGAUCAAAUGCCUGAAGCUGACGAACCGGAAGGGCCUGAUGGUCGCCAUCUUGGCGCGCUUCCUGUUCAUCCCUGCGUUCUACUUCACGGCCAAGUAUGGCGACCAAGGGUACAUGAUCUUCCUCACGUCCUUUCUGGGACUGACCAAUGGCUACCUCACCGUGUGCGUCCUCGCUGAAGCGCCAAAUGGGUACAAGGCAAGUCUCCUUCCUUGCCGAUGCAAACAUCGUAAUGCAGUGUUCAGAAAGAAAACGUUUGUUCCUUGUCGAUGCAAACAUCAUAGUACAGUAAAUGUUUGUCAUGAGGAUCUGAGCUGUAUGUUGAACAUUGGUUUUUUGGUUGUGCAGGGGCCGGAGCAGAACGCUCUGGGGAACGUGCUCGUGGUGUGCCUCCUCGGCGGCAUAUUCUCCGGCGUCGUGCUCGACUGGAUGUGGCUGAUAGGCAAGGGCUGGUAGUCGAGCACUCUCCGCUGUUUGGUCUGCGCGAUUCGUUCGGUGUCGGGUGGGAAGCGCGCUAAUGCUGGCGAUCUUUCUUGCUCCAUAGGUAGAUAGGUGGUUGCCGAAACAAGGAUGCUGCAGUACAGUGGUGUAUUCCGAGUGGUUGUUCAUCUUCUUUCUCAAAAGAGAUUUUAAAUGUUAAUCUGUUCAUGUUUGUAAAUAACUUUGCUGCGACAUGCGAUGUAUCCUUUCUAGCUUCCCUUUUAUGUUUAGCCCCUAGGGCUGUCUUCCCCUGCUUACCAUAUUGGACGGCAUAUUCAUGACUCGUUGAACCAAAACAUCAAAUUUAUCUUAACCACAAGUCUGAAAUAAAUAGUGGAGUUAGGUCCAAUUAUAGUGCCACGAUAAAGCGAGCUUAUGUCAUCUUAAAAUAUUAAUGGUUGCUUCUAACCAGUGAGAGAUAAAAGAAGAGAAACUAAUAAUUAAACUCACCAAACCUAAAACAACUCAUUAUCCAAGGCAAUCUAUAAAAGAGUUCUUUCUGCCAAAGAACCAACCUUUUUGUUUGACGCACAUAAAGGGACCCCCCCCCCCCCUCCCUGAAACUUACUAAUUUAGUUGCUAGCAAUGGUGUUAAANNNNNNNNNNNNNNNNNNNNNNNNNNNNNNNNNNNNNNNNNNNNNNNNNNNNNNNNNNNNNNNNNNNNNNNNNNNNNNNNNNNNNNNNNNNNNNNNNNNNNNNNNNNNNNNNNNNNNNNNNNNNNNNNNNNNNNNNNNNNNNNNNNNNNNNNNNNNNNNNNNNNNNNNNNNNNNNNNNNNNNNNNNNNNNNNNNNNNNNNNNNNNNNNNNNNNNNNNNNNNNNNNNNNNNNNNNNNNNNNNNNNNNNNNNNNNNNNNNNNUAACAAAUGAAUCAAUAGUACUGGAAUAUUAUCGUUUCAUGUAAGAGAAGGGGGCACACAAAGAAAUUGCCACAACAACGCUCAGAUGGACAAACAGGCCAGAUUUGUCUUUUCCACAAUAGAUGAUAAUCAAUAUACUCAAUUCUUCCCAAUGGACACACAUGACAAAGAUACCACAUGAAAAAAGUUGGAAAGUAUCAAACAUGCAUGCGUAGCUAACUACUCCCUCCGUCCGAAAAAACUUGUCUCUCAAAUGAAUGUAUCUAGAACUAAUUUGGUGCAAGAUACAUCCAUUUGAGGGACAAGCUUGGGACAAAUUUUUUCGGACGGAGGGAGUACACCACAAUGCUAGAAAGAACGUUUGAACUGAAGCAUAUGUUUGCUUGAUCAAUCCAAGAGGAUUCAUCUUAGAAGUGAAAAUGCUUGUUAACAACAUGUGAAAGGAGGGAUGGAGAAACUUACAGGGAGCAUCUAAACAAUGCGUUGGUACACCCUUAAGAUCUGGAAUUGUUAUUGGAUCACUGAUUACUUGAAAAACAAUUCAUCUAUACAUUUGAUAUCCGAGAAAAUAAAAUGUGUUAUUUGUAGUAUUACAUAAGAUACAACUUUGCAUAACUAGUUAUUUUGCAUGGCGGAAACAUCAAGAAUUAAAUUAGAAAAUUGCCAAGGAGAGAAUGGGAUGUUCUUCAUAUAUAGUGAAGUUGAUGUUUAAGAAAGAAUAGGAUAAUUUGGACUGAGAUAAACAAAUAUAAUUUGUAAAAAGUAUAAAGCUAACCUAAAGAUAACUAUUUUAAGAAAGAGGUAGUCGUAAACCACGUGGAAAAAAUUAAGUGAACUAAAAGCCAACAGCUUUGCUACUGAGCUACGUGCAACUGUAUGCAAGGUAUCUGGAGGAAGAGUGCCAAGCAAGCACGCAGACAAUGCAUCUCUAAGUUUAGCCACCAAUCGACCCAAAAAUCCUAAUUAAUUCAAAAAUACCGAUGAAGGAAUAUAUUAGGGUAGAUACACUUCAAAUGAGAAAUUAUAAAUCAAUUUUUAGAGAGAGAGAGAGAGAGAGAGAGAGAGAGAGAUAUGAAAUCUGAAUCACAUGGGCGAGUGUAUGUGUGUGUGUGUACGUGGGCAUCAACGGCAACUACGAAGAUGUCUACGAUGACUUUGUCAAUCUCAAGAUGAUGUCCCGGCUCAGUAUCUCGGAGGUGCUCAUAGAGGUAGGAUGUGCAUGCGUGCGUUCAUAUGAGUGAGCUUAUGUGCUUGCAUGUGGGCAUCAAUGUCGACUACCAACACGCCUGUGUUGACUUCAUCAAUCUCAAGAUGGUGUGCCGGCUCAGCAUCAGAAGUGCUCAUAUAGAUACGGUUUGCGUGUGUGUUCACAGGAGUGAGUGUAUGUGGGCAUCAACGUCGACUACGAAGAUGCCUGCAGUAACUUCGUCAGUCUCAAGAUGUUGUACCAGCUCAGUAUCUCAGAGGUGCUCAUAGAGGUACGAUGUGCGUGCUUAUGCGUUCAUAGGGGUGAGUGUAUGUGCGUGUACAUGGGCAUCAACGUCGACUACGAAGACGCCUGCAGUGGCUUCGUCAAUCUCAAGAUGUUGUGCCGGCUUAGUAGGCAUCGACGUCAACUACGAAGACACCUGCGGUGACUUCGUCGAUCUCAAGAUGUUGUGCCGGCUCACUAUCUCGAAGAUGCUCAUAUUGAUAGGGUGUCCGUGCGUGCACGUUCAUAGGUCUGAGUGUAUGUGCGUGUAUGUGGGCAUCUGUGUUGUACUGCGUUAAAAAACCAGUAGCAAAACACACACAAAAUCAGGAGGUGCUCAUAGAGGCACGAUGUGCGUGCGUAUGCGUUCACAAAGGCGAGUGUAUGUGUGUGUACGUGGGCAUCAACGUCGACUACGACGACCCCUGCAGUGACUUCGCCAAUCUCAAGAUGUUGUAGCGGCUCAGUAGGCAUCGACGUCAACUAUGAAGACACCUAUAGUGACUUCGUCAAUCUCAAAAUGUUGUGUUGGCUCACUGUCUCGAAGGUGCUCAUACUAAUAAGGUGUGCGUGCGUGCAUUCAUAUGUGUGAGUGUAUGUGCGUAUAUACGGGCAUCUGUGUUGUACUGCGUUAAAAAACCACACACACAAAAAUCAGUAAUGAAGCAAAUAAAAAAACAGCCAUGUGUCAACUGGGAGAGUACUCAGGCAAAGUACUUCAAAUGCAUGCUAGCACUACUAGGGAAAACCUUAUACGCAGAAAUUUAGCAACAACGCGGGUCAAAAAAGGGCGCUAGUGCUAGAUAGCAGUAGCGAUUGAGAAAAAACCGCGCUACAAAUACAACCUUAGCAGUAGCGCGUGUAGUGGCAAAAGCGCUACUACUAAUAUUCCCAUUGGUAGAAUGAUAGGCUACGCAUAGCAGUAUCGGGCUUGGAAGAAGCGCGCUACCGCUAGGGCAUAAGUAGUAGCGCGUUUCCUACGAAGAGCGCUACUACUGAUGGAAAUAAAAUAAGAUGAAAAACAAAUAGAAAAGUAAAUGAAAAUGAAAGAAAUAGAAAAAGGAGAAAGAAAAAAUAAAAUGUAAAGCAAAAUAAAUGAAAAAGCGAAAAAACGGAGGAAGGCAUAGCAGUAGCGUGUGUUCAUAAGAGGCGCUAUAGCUAACGUAGCUGCAACGCGUGUCCUAGACCCCCGCUAUAGAAACAGAAAAGGAAAUUAAAAAAUGGAAGAAAAUUACAUAGCUAUAGCAGCAGCGCGUUUUGUAAAAACCGCUAUAGCUAUCUUAGGUAUAGCGCGUUUUACUAAACGCGCUACCGCUAAAUUUGACUUAACCAAGAAACCGUUUCCCCCCGGCCACCACUUCUCCCCCAAAUCCCUCGACCCACCCCGCUGCCGUCUCCCCGAUUCGCCGUCACCCCACUUCGCCGCCGUCUCCUGCCGACGUCGACACCACCAGAGCCGUGCGCCGUCGACGCCACCGGAGCCGCCCCCAACGCCACGGAGCUGCACGGCCUCAUCAACGCCACCGGAGCCGCCGUCGACGCCACCGGAUCCUCCCUCGCCACAACUGCCUCCCUCGCCGUCACCGGAGACGCCCCUGCCUCCCUCGCCACCACUGCCUCCCUCGCCACCACCGGAGCCAUCCUCUGUAAGCCCCCACCCCUCCUCUCUCUCUCAUGCAUAGGUUAGCUAGUUUAAUUAGGUUAAUUAUCUAGGUUAGGGCAAAAAUUUAGUUAGGGCUUUGACAGAGAAGUAGUUAGGUUAACUAGUUUAAUUAGGUUAAUUAUCUAGGUUAGUGCAAAAAUUUAGUUAGGGCUUUGACAGAGAACUAGUCAGGUUAACUAGUUUAAUUAGGUUAAUUAUCUAGGUUAAUUAGUGCAAAAAUUUAUUUAGGGCUUUGACAGAGAACUAGCUGCGUUAACUAGUUUAAUUAGGUUAAUUAUCUAGGUAAACUAGAUUAACUAACUAGAUUAAAUAGGUAGGUUAAUUAGGUUCGUUGGAUUAACAAGCUAGGUUAAGUAGGUUGGCUAGGUUAGUGGAAAAUUUUAUUUUAGAGCAUUAGGUCAGAAGGGUUAGAGAAAUGGAGUUCCUUUGCAAUUUAAUUGGGUUCUGUCCUAGGCAGAGAAGGGUUAGAGAUAAUAAUGUGUGUUUGUGUGAGAGAGAGGAAUAGCUAGAUCAACAUAAUUUGGGUUCUGUCCUAGGCAGAGAAGUGUUUAGUGAGGUCAUUUUGCAAAGGUUUUUGAUUUUUGGAAAGACCACUAUUUUUCAAGGAAAAGAAUUUAGGCAAAUUUUAUUUUAAAGAUGAUCCCUUCCUAGACUUUUAUUGUUGAUUAUAUCUUUUCAUUGAAGUGGUCAUGUUAUAUCUUUUCAUUGAAGUUGUUCGAUUGUGCCCAAGUGGCUUUGUUGUUUCCAGGGAAUGAUGCUGAGUGGCCUAUGUUUUGCCGGAAUGUUGAUUCAUUUCUGUUCCGGCAAAUUUUAGGUUCUCGAUUUGUCCACUUUUUAGCAAAGGUCAUGCCGAAAUUUUCCGUGAAUUUCAACAUGACUUGUGCUACAAACUAGGACAUAUCGAGUGCCCGGGAUUUGCCGCACCAGGAAGGAGUCAACGUUCCUGCAAAAUAAUAGGCCUUUUUUAUGUCAUUAUUCAUUUUAUUAGGUCUAGAAUUAAUUGACUAGAUUUAAUCAUAGGAAACAUGGCUAGCAACGAUGAAGGACAGGGUUCUGGUGAUUGCGACGACGUCUACCAGGCGGCAGACGAAUUUUUUAGCCUUGCCGACGAUCAACCAAUGUUGUUGCUGGGCCCACCGGUGGCAUCGGGGACUGAGACCGACACGCAGACUGGUGCUGGACUGAGACCGGCGCUGAGACUCAGACCGACAUCGAGACCGGCGCUGAGACUGAGACCGGCGCUGCCUCGGGGGCGGAGCCGGUGUAGAACCGAAAGCAAAGAGGCAACGGCUUCCUAACAAACUCAGGACUACUAGACUGGUGGUCACGGAGGUGGACGACGGCAAUUUUGAGCCAAAGGCGCCCGAGGAAGCGCGCUCGUGCUACAGCAAUCAAAUAGGCUGCAUCGUACGGACAACCGCCACCAUCAACGAUGAGAAACUACAGAAGAUAGAAAAUAUGAGGAGCUCCCUCCUAAAGAAGUUUCACCAGAUAUUCUUGUUCCCGGGCCGGAAUGAGAAGGAUUAUGAAGAUCUAGAUGAGGACCCGGCAAUGAAGAAGAUAAACAAACACGCCAUGACCAAGUUUAGCGACGCGUUGGCCGCCUGGAAAAAUCGAGUGAAAGCAAAGAUCAUCGACAAGGAACCCUACUCCGAGAUUGUAAAGGAUAAUCCGACAAUCACGGAAGAGCAGUUUCAAAUAUUCAAGGAGGCUUGCGAGGCCGAAGCUGCCAAAAAAAAGUCUAAGUACAUGAAGGGGCUUCAAGAGAGGAACAUUGGGAGCCACCGCCUCGGAAGCCGUGGUUACGGCGGAAAGAGGUCCAAAUGGGCCAAGGAGGACGCGGAAGCCGCGAGUCUGGGCAUCCCAGACCCCUUGGCGGAGUUCACCGUCCCGCAGGAGCGUGACGUCCUCAGGGCCCGGCACCGUUGGGACCCAGUGAAGAAGGUUUACGAGACAAAACCGGUCAUUACGGAGUUCAUGAGACUGCUGGUAAUUUUAGUUUCUGAUCAAUUCGACUGCACACGUUAGUCAUAUUUGUAAACGAUCCUUGUGCCUUUUGCAGAGAGAGCAGCACCAGUUUGCGGCCGAAAGCGACUCACCGUCUGAGGCAUUGGCGAGGCCCAAGUGGGACACUCCAUUCAACUGGGCGUUGAACAUAUUGAAACGACAACCGGUGGAUACUCGACCGUCGUAUGGACGCGUGCACGGUGUCGGAGACGGCGCCACGUGGAAGAAGUACUACCGUGAGACCACGGAGGAGAGAAAGGAAAGAUGGAGGUUAACUGAAGAAAACAUCGACAAGAAGGUUGAGAUUGCGGUUGAGAAGAAAUCAUCUCAGACAGUCGCAACAGCGGUAGCUGCCGCAAAAUAGGUGGUUGCAGAUUUGUCUACUUCCUUGGUUCCGGCCAUUUUCACUUUGACAAGGCAAAAUCCAGAAAAAAAAAAUGCAGAGGACUUUCCCCUUGCUGACUUCUUGGGGAGCGGCUCGACUAGCGUUGCACCAGCACCUGCUCCCGCACCGGCUCCCGCACCGGCUCCCGCACCGGACGUGCUCGGCGGUGCUUCGUCUUUGGCUGAGCUCGAUGCCCUCACGGUAUCUGUCACACCGGCCCCCUUCAAUAUAAAUGUAUAAUCUCCCGUUUUCGUUGCCUUUCGGAUGUCUCACGUCGCAGACUUUUCUUUGCAGGCCGACGAAAACCCGUGCACCAUAUUGUACACCAUCAGCGACCAUAAGGUGGAUGUGGGGAAGGCGAUGAUAAUGGAGCCUAAGGAACCACUGUUCCACAGCCGGCCGAUCCCCCCGAACGUCUUCAAGGUUUCCGUGGCCAGUGUCAAACCGGGCCACAAGAAUUUGCCUCCUCUAAUACUAGUGGGGGAUGACGACAAGACCCCGCGGCGGCUUGGUGAUUGUUGCAAUGCGUGGGUCCUGUUGUGGCCAAAGAGUCUGCUUCGUCUGGAGGCGGCCGGGAGCACACCCACGAGCACGCAGCCUCAGCAAGGUAUGAACAUCAACACCCCACCUACCCAAUUAGGGUCGGGUGUCGGGUUGGGUGAUAGUGGACGGGGUAAGGAGGAGGCUCCAUUAGUCGCUGAUGACGUCGCCAUGGAUGAGGAUGAGGAUGACGAUGGCGCUGAACAGUAUGUCUAUACUAGCGCCUCCUCAGGGUUUGAGCGUCAUGAGUCGGUGCCUGAAUUGCCGUCUCAACGUAUUAUGGACGACCUUCCGGUAGUAAAGAAGUCUAGGAAGAGAGCGAGGAAAGGCAAAAAAGCUGAUUCUAUGAUCCACCCGCCUCAGCAGCCUCGGCUUCAGGACCGUAUAGAUAUCCCCGAUGCGGAUAAAUGGCAUAUCCCUGGUCAACCAAUCCUACCUACAACAGCGCUACGGGCCAGAUUCGGCGAUCUAAGGAGACUUCAUGAUGAUGUGCUGCGGGUAGAGAAAGGCCUCAUCGCCUCGAAAGAUCCAGGAUACCCACUCUACGUGGUAAACGUUCCGCGGGAAAUGUCAUACGUCGACAGCUUCCUCGUGGAUAAGUUCUUCCUCCGAUUCGAUUACAUAUUCGACAUGUUUCACGUGAAGAAGCUGGAUUUUACGUUUGUCCGCCUUUAUGCCUUGCUGUCGGAGUAAAUGACCACGGGUAGCCUAGCCGGCUCCCCCUGGUUCUUCAAAACAUGACGGGCCGAUCAAGCCUUCAAGCACCCAAGGCAUGGGGCCGCCUUCCCUUGGCCGGCUGUCUUACAGGCCGACUACCGGAAGGCGGCCCGGCCCUAAAACUCUCAUGAAGAAAGCCACGAGAGGGCCGACUCCAAGAAGCCGGCCACGAGAAGACCGACUCCAAGAAGCCGGCCCCUGGCAAGCGGCCAAGAUCGUGCCCUCAAAGCCUGCACCCACAUAAUGGUGAUGAGACGGGGCGUGGCAACAACGAAGCCUGCCACCCCCGAAUCCCGGAGCACGCAUGGCCACAGUACGCCGUACGGGUCAGCCAUGACCCGUCCGGCGUGGCACUGUUGCCAUGCUGACCAUGACGCCACCCACGACAGGCUGUCAGUACGGCCCGCGGGCGGCGGGCCCCUUCAGUCAGAGAGACACCCGAAGGCGGCCACGCCUCCUCCAGUCGGCCUGGGACGUAGCCGGCUCUCACCAGCCGGCUCGCUCCCUCCCUCGAAGUACGCGCACCAUUAAGGAGACAAGACGAGGUAAGGCCAUAGUGGGAGCCCGCCAGGUGGUGGCACUGUAGCCAUGCUUACCUCGACAAAGCCCUCGUCAUCAAGAGUGAGGCAACAGUAACCAGCCCCCGACAAGACCCACAAGCGGUGGGACCUGUCUGUCGACCGAGAGGCCGGCAGCCGGCGGGACCCACCAGUCAGCGGGCCCCAGCGGCCAGCGGAGAAGCCGGCGAACAUAGACACUGACGGCUAGGGCCCACGCCCAGCCGGAUUACCAUUGUACCCCUGGGGGGUAGGCCUAUAUAAACCCCCAGGGCACCCAUGCAAAGGGUGGAUCUCUGAUAGUUUCACACACUUCAUUGAGGGGAGAAAAGAGCUAGCCUUGCCCUUCUUCCUUCUCUCACCGAACAGCUCAAGGAGCCUCUUGUAGCCACUUGUUGAUCUAGUGAUCAUGCGGAGACCCCGCAGAGCAGGAUUAGGGGUGUUAUCUCCACGGAGAGCCCCGAACCUGGGUAAGAUCCUCCAGCGUGCAUGUCUUCGCCUCAUCCCGUUUCUAGGCACCGGCGAUAUCUUAUUGGCUCCCACAAUGAUAAGCCACCCGUUGGCAUAUGUCGCACCUACCACCCGACAUUUGGCGCCCACUGUGGGGCCAGGUGCACCGUCGUCCGGAGACCUGCUCUGGACGGGAACCCUUUUCCUUCCCAGCGAGCGUAGCCAGCCCAGCACGCCCGAUGGCGCUUGCCCCGACACACUGCAAGAUGUCGAUGACGCCUGCGCGACAAGCUGCCUCGCCGAUCUUCUUGGCGAGGCCCGCAUCUCCGACGAGCCCGCGUCCGACGCGGGCACAGGCUGCCCCGAGAGCCGCCUCGUCAGCCUCCUCGACCAACUCUACGUCUCCAGCGAGCCUGCUGCGGAUUUGGAAUCGGUUGGCUCCAUCGACCCGAUGCUUGUCGACUCCGACACGGCAUCGCUUGACGCUUUCCCCACCAAUGUAGUGAUCUUCGACGACCCUCUUCCUCGAGCCGAUAGCGGUGGCAGCACCGUUACUGAGGUACUAGUCAUCAGCCACGGUGUCACCUCUGGCGAGAACGCCCACGACGCCCUGCACGCGGCGCUGCACGACUUGUCCGUCCCCAUCCCGGCCGACGCCGACGCCGAGACGCUGGAGGCACGCCGCCUUGCCCUCAUUGCGGAGGGCCAGAAGAUAGCCUCCAUGAGACGCCUCACUGAGGCUCACCAGCGCGAAGUCGACCGCGCCGCCUUUAGUACGCCACCUCCCGACGGGCCGAGCCGAGCCGACGUCGUCAAGAAGCGCGGCGCGGCCAUCGCCAACAUGCUGGGAGCAGACCGCCCAGUCUAUGCCACGCCCCUCGAGAACCUACGCGCCGCCCAGUCGGUCGUGGACGAGCUGAAUGGACUGGGGGCCGACGAGCUCCCCUACAAGACCAGACGCAUCCAGCAGCUGAUCGACGCGGCCGCAGAGCGACAUGAAGCCGGCGCCCGCGCUGGAAGUCCUCCCCCACGCCGAGAGCACGGUGCGACAUCGCGGACGCCGACUGCGGGUGGCGCCUGUACAAGGCAAGAAAAGGAGCCGGCUGCUAGCCGCAAUCGGACUCGAAUCACCAUCAAGCGCGAUGCCGAAGGCCGCCCUCGAGUUGUGGAACGACGAGGCGAUCCGCCUCCUCCUCCACCUCAUGGGGAGAGAUAUCCCACCCCACCGCCUGUCACGCAUCCGACUCUCAGCGGCCGACUAGGCCGACGUGAAGGAGUCGGCGAGAAUGAUGCCCGCCAUCGGAUCGACCGCCUAGCGCGAUCCCUGGCGCUAGAAGAAGCAGACGAUGUCGGCCCGCCCUGCUUUGGCCCCCGCAUCCACGACGAGCCCUUCCCCAAAGGGUUCUCACUCCCAAGAGACACGCCCAAGUACAAUGGCUCUGUGAAGUCGGAAGAUUGGUUGAUCGAUUACUCCACUGUGGUUCGCAUAGCAAACGGCAACAAGCGUGUUGCCGUGAAGUAUGUCCCCCUCAUGCUCCAAGGCAUGGCGCGCACCUGGCUCAACAGCUGGCUAGACUUCACAGAAGCCUUCAUCCGCAACUUCACCAGCACCUACAAACGGGCUCCCAAGCGCCGACAGCUCUCCUUCUGUGUUCAAGGGCUCGAUGAAUCAACUCGCGACUACCUCACGCGUUGGGCCGAGCUCCACAACUUCUGCGAGGGGGUGCACGAGGUUCAAGCCAUAGAGUACUUCACUGCCGGAUGCCGAGAAGGCACCCUCCUCAAGCACCGACUCCUCUGCGACGAGCCGACUACCCUCGACGAGCUGCUGAUCAUAGCAGACAAGUAUGCCACGACCGACUCUUCGAUGAAGACCGAGCUUCGAGUAGACGCCUCCGGGAAGGUGCUCACGCCGGCUCCCAAGACGCCGGCUGGAGACUCCAACCGACGCCCGUACCAGAACGACAACAAGCGCAACGCCCCUAUGCCGCCUUCCACCAUUCGGCAAGUGGCCACAGUCGAAGACGAACAACCCGAAGGGCGGCUCGCGCCUAAGAAGCAGAAGGGCGGCAGGCCGGCUUGGCAGCCGGCUUUCUCCUACGAGCAAGCCCUUGAUGCCCCUUGCAAGUUCCACAGCGGCACGAAGGCAUCCAACCACACGACUCGGAAAUGCCAUUGGCUCACGCGAAUCUCCAAGGGCGAAGGGCUGGUGCCGCCUCCGCCUGCUGGCCAGCCGCCUCCAGCCCCUCCGCAGUCGGCCGCUCGACCAGUAGGCGGGGACGUUCAAGACGAGUUCCCCGACGAGCAUGCCGCCUACGUCGUCUUUACAAGCCAGACCGAAGACCAGCGCAGCCGGCGCCGACAGCACCAAGAAGUCAACGUGGUCGCCUCCAACAACCCCGAGUUCCUGCACUGGUCGGAGAAGCCUAUCAGCUGGAGCCGGGCCGAUCACCCAGAGGUGAUGCCAUCUCCCGGCUCUUACGCAUUGGUUUUGGAUGCCACCCUCGCAACAGAAAGGCGAGCUGCCCGUUUCUCCUGCGUGCUGAUAGAUGGCGGGAGCAGCAUCAACAUACUGUACCGUGACACCAUGGAGAAGCUGAACAUCAAGACGAAGCAGCUCAUGCCUAGUCGGACUGUGUUCCACGGCAUCGUACCCGGCCUAUCCUGCUCACCAAUCGGCAAGAUCAAGAUAGAUGUUCUCUUUGGGGACAAGGAUCAUUUCCACCGAGAAGCAAUAUGGUUUGAAGUAGUGGAUCUGGAGAGCCCUUACCACGCAUUACUUGGUCGACCUACUCUGGCCAAGUUCAUGGUUGUGCCCCACUAUGCCUACCUCAAGAUGAAGAUGCCAAGUUCCAAGGGCAUCAUCACCGUAGCCGGAGACUACAAGAAAUCCUCUGAGUGUGCGGCAGCUAGCAACCGGCUGGCCGAGUCCCUCAUGAUCGUUGAAGAGAAAAAGAUGCUGGAUCGAGUCGUGGCCGUGGCCGGCAAGCAGCCGGCCCUGUCCCCCAACCCCAAGGAAUAUGAUGCUCAAGGUUCCUUCCAGCCGGCCAAAAAAACAAAAAAGAUACCUCUGGAUCCGGAGCACCCGGAGAGGCACGCUGUCGUAGGCACCGGCCUAGAUAGCAAAUAGGAAAGCGAGCUCGUCGAUUUCCUCUGUGUGAAUCGGGACAUCUUCGCAUGGUCUCCCAAAGACAUGCCGGGCGUUCCGACGGAUUUCGCCGAGCACAAGCUACAUGUCCGAUCUGACGCCAAGCCGGUCAGGCAGCCCUUGCGCAACCUGUCGGAAGAAAAGAGAAGAGUUGUCGGAGAAGAAAUAGCCCGGCUUCUAGCAGCCCGAUUCAUCAUGGAAGUGUUCUUUCCAGAAUGGCCGGCCAACCCGGUCCUGGUGUUGAAGAAAAAUAAGCAAUGGCGCAUGUGCAUUGACUACACCAGCCUCAACAAAGCCUGCCCCAAAGAUCCUUUUGCUCUGCCAAGGAUUGAUCAAGUGAUAGACUCCACAGCCGAAUGCGAGCUGUUGAGCUUCUUGGAUGCUUACUCAGGCUACCACUAGAUAAAGUUGGAUCCAGCUGACCGCCUGAAGACCGCCUUCAUCACACCAUUCGGAGCUUUCUGCUACCUGACUAUGACAUUCAGCUUGAGAAAUGCCAGUGCCACUUUUCAGCGUCGCAUGCAGAAAUGCCUCCUCAAGCAGCUCGGCAGAAAUGCCCACGUCUAUGUAGAUGAUAUUGUGGUGAAGACGGAGAAGCGCGGCACCUUGCUGGAAGACCUCAGAGAGACAUUUGAAAACUUGCGCCGGUUUCAGAUCAAGCUCAACCCCGAGAAAUGCGUGUUUGGAGUGCCAGCCGGCCAGCUUCUAGGCUUCCUGGUCUUCGAACGCGGCAUCAAAUGCAACCCGGUGAAGAUCAAGGCCAUAGAGAGAAUGGAGAUUCCUACCAAGCUACGAGACAUCCAAAAGUUUACCGGAUGCUUGGCCUCCCUGAACCGCUUCAUCAGCCGGCUCGGAGAGAAAGCUCUCCCCCUCUACCGACUCAUGAAGAAGUCCACUCACUUCGAGUGGAACGACCAAGCAGACCAAGCUUUCCACGAGCUAAAGAAGAUGUUGACCACGCCGCCUGUCUUGGCGGCACCGACUGAGAAAGAGCCCAUGCUCCUUUACAUUGCCGCCACUAGCCGAGUGGUCAGCACCGUUAUCGUGGUUCAGCGCCCAGAAGAAGGCCGAGCUCAGCUAGUCUAGAGGCUGGUAUAUUAUCUGAGCGAAGUGCUGUCCACCUCGAAGCAGAACUACCCGCACUACCAGAAGAUGUGCUAUGGUGUGUACUUCACCGCCAAGAAGCUCAAGCCCUACUUUCAAGAGCACCCCAUCAUGGUCGUAUGUACUGCCCCGCUCGCCGAGAUCAUAGGCAGCUGGGAUGCCGGCCGGGUGGCAAAAUGGGCCAUUGCGCUGGCUCCUUACACAAUCUUCUACCAGCCUCGCACCGCCAUCAAGUCCCAGGCAUUGGUCGACUUCCUUGUCGACUGGGCCGAGACCCAGUACCUACCGCCAGCCCCCGACUCCACUCAUUGGCGGAUGCACUUCGAUGGAUCCAAGAUGCGCACCGGCUUGGGAGCCGGCAUCGUCCUCACCUCUCCCAAGGGCGACAGACUCAGAUACACAUUGCAAAUUCAUUUUGCCGCCUCCAACAAUGUGGCCGAGUACGAGGCGCUCAUACACGGGCUCCGGCUGGCCAAAGAACUCGGCAUUCGCCGGAUCCUGUGCUAUGGUGACUCGGACUUGGUAUUCUAGCAAUCAUCUGGCGACUGGGACGCCAAGGACGCAAACAUGGCGAGCUACUGCUUCCUCGUUCAGCAAAUCAGUGGAUAUUUUGAAGGAUGCGAGUUCCUCCACGUGCCACGGGCCGACAACGAGCAAGCAGAUGCCCUGACACGAAUUGGCUCCACCCGACAAGCUAUACCAACCGGCGUCUCUCUCCAACGCCUCCUCAAGCCGUCUGUCAAGCCAUCUCUAGAAUCUGAUUCCAUCUUCGUACCGCCUGACCCCGACGCAGUCGGAUCCGACUCUGGGAACCAAGCAGGUAGCUCGGGGACUUCGACAGGCGGCUCGGGGACUGCCAUAGUCGCACCCGGCCCGGGGACCUCAGAACCCGGCCCGGGGACUACCGCAGUCGGCCCGGGGACUGCAUCAACGCAACAAGCGGUGGCCGACUCGAACUCUUCACCACCCAGCCCACCCGCCCUGGUCGCAGUAGCCGUAUUGGCAAUAGAAGAAGUCACAGCUCCAUCAUGGGCCCAGCCCAUCCUCAACUUCCUGGUAAACAGAGAGCUGCCAACUGACGAGAUCUCGGCAAGACAAGUCCAACGCCGAGCCGGAGCAUACACAAUAAUGAACCGAGAGCUCAUUAGGCGCAGCGUCACUGGAGUCUUCCAGCGCUGCGUCGAGCCAGAGAAGGGCAUAGCAAUCCUCAAGGACAUCCACCAAGGCGAAUGCGGCCACCACGCGGCCUCAAGAUCACUCGUCGCCAAAGCUUUCCGCCAUGGAUUCUUCUGGCCGACUGCUUUGGAAGACGCCAAGGAGUUAGUCAAACACUGCAAAGGGUGCCAAGUCUUCAGCUCCAAGCAACACCUGCCGGCUUUCGCACUCAAAACCAUCCCCCUCACCUGGCCUUUUGCCGUCUGGGGACUGGACAUGGGGGGCCCAUUCAAGACGGCGCGCGGCGGCAUGACACAUCUGCUCGUCGCCGUGGACAAAUUUACCAAGUGGAUUGAAGCGAAGCCGAUCAAGAAACUGAAUGGGCCGACUGCCGUGACAUUCAUCGCAGAUAUUACAACCCGGUAUGGUGUACCACACAGCAUCAUCACCGACAACGGCACAAAUUUUGCCAAGGGAGCACUGGCACGUUUCUGCGCGACACAGGGCAUCCGACUGGACUUAGCGUCCGUUGCCCACCCGCAGUCAAACGGCCAAGUCGAGCGAGCAAACGGCCUCAUCCUCUCUGGAAUCAAGCCACGAUUGGUCGUGCCACUGGAGCGUUCGGCCGACUGUUGGCUCGACGAGCUGCCGGCCGUCCUCUGGAGUUUGCGCACUACCCCGAACAAAUCAACCGGCUUCACCCCUUUCUUCCUUGUAUAUGGUGCCGAGGCAGUCAUCCCAACUGACAUCGAGUUCGACUCACCUCGGGUCGCCAUGUACACGGAGGCGGAGGCCAAGGAAGCGCGAGAAGACUGCGUCGACCUGCUGGAAGAAGGUCGGCUGUUAGCCCUCAGCCGGUCCGCCAUCUACCAGAAGGGUUUACGCCGUUACCAUAGCCGGAAGGUCAAGCCAAGAUCCUUCCAAGAGGGUGAUCUUGUGCUCCGGCUGAUCCAGCGAACAGCCGGCCAGCACAAGCUCUCGGCCCCUUGGGAAGGCCCCUUCGUCAUCAGCAAGGCCUUAGGCAACGACUCCUACUACCUGAUCGACGCGCAGAAGCCGAAGGCACGCAAGAGAGAUGAUUCCGGCAAGGAGUCGGAAUGACCAUGGAACGCCAAUCUCCUCCGAAGAUUUUACAGUUAAAAUGCAGUAUGUACCACGCUACCUUUUGUAUUAAGUACGAGACAACGGGCCCCCCGAGGAGCACUCGGGGACUACCCCCUUUUAUCUAUGUAUGACGAGUAUCAUGCCUAUGAUUAUGUUACUACAUUUGUUUUCUCGUCCGGCACCGGGUUCGAUCAGUCGGCCUGGGGACUUGCCGCCUUGAGUUAUAUUCAAGUUCUACCUGCAGUCAGACAAGUAGUGUGUCGGCACCCAAGCCCUCUCUUGUUGAAAGUCGCAGCUCGAAGAAUCGACUGUCCGGCUGGCAAGAGCCAAAGGCAGGAAAGAAUGCCCACAUGAAAAAUGGCUAAGGACUAACGAACUUAUAUAACACAAGCCGGCCUCCCACCCCGCCAACCGGUUGUCAGAGCAGCCGGCUGGCCUGCUUCCCAUUCACCUUGCUACAAUCUAAGAAAGCUCGAGUACUUGUCCUCCCAAACGGCCAAGCCCUUCCCCAGCCACAGACUGCAGAGCAGCUGUCCGGCUGGGAAGGCGGCGACCAAGGGAGUGCGGCAAAGGAAACAGCCAAAAGGAUGAAAAGCAAGUAUGAACGGAAGCCAAGCACAUGCAUGAUUAUACUUACACAAAAGGCCUUCGAAAGGCCAGCAUUCAACAUAGUUUGAAUACACCCCCAGUGGGUGGAACUGCGCAAAUUUAAUAAAAAUUGUUCAAAGAGUAACGAGCAGGAAAGCAAAGACGGCGGAUCAGGCCAAGGGAGCAACAGGCGAGCCGGGCAGGUUGGUGGAGACGGUAGUGCUGGCCGGAGGAGUGGCCGGCUGGCGAGUCUCGGCAUGAUCGUCACCUAUUGCAGGCAGCACGCUCGCACGCGCCUCGUUGCUGGAGGCACGAUCAGGCUAAGGCUGGCUGGUCGCUCCAUCGUCUGGCACGAUGUCUUCACCAUCCUCCCGCUCUUCCUCUUCGCCCUCGUCGCUGGAAUCGAUCUCCUCCGCCGAGUCUUCACCUUCUGCCGGGUUCAGCCCGAACCACUCCUCCGGCUGAGCGACGCCGUCAUCAUUUACCUCAGGGGCAAAGGCACUGGUGUCGGUGUAGUCGGCGAUCCCCAAGGCGCGCUGGAUGAUAACCGGCCGCACCGCCUCCAGCUCCUCGUUGGCCUCCUGCCGCCAGGUGCUCAGCUGGGCCAAGUCCAGCCCAGAUACCAAGCUCGGACGAACUCUAGCGCCCGCCUGGCGCUGGACCGGGCUGCAGAGGCCUUCCAGGCCUCGAAGCGGCCGACUGCUACCUCCAGCCAGUCGGCAGUCCGACUGGGGGUGCGGGGAACUACCUCGCCGGGCCAGAGGGCGGCCAGCACCUGCGGCCCCGCACGCUGAAGACGGCGGAGCAUGCGGUAGGCCGGCUGGAGGCCGGCUUGAAUCGCCAGAAGCUGCUCCUCAAGCGACCGGCCAGCAUCCGGUGCGAUCUCAACCCCAGCCUGCCGUCGUGCAUCACGGAGAGCCUCGAUGGCUUGGUUGGCGGCAACGGAGUAACCAGGAAAGUAAUCUGCACAAAGAAAAAUAAGUAGCUCAAAGUCAGAAGACAGACCAGAUGACAGGGGGCGAGCAAAGGGACGAAGAGGAAGGUGGCCUACCGUCAAUCAAAUCUUCAAUCCGGCCAUAGCCUUCGCUCAGCGCUUGCCUCGCCUCAGCCCAGCUCCGCCUCGGUCUCAUAUUCGCCUUUGAGGGCGGCUUCGCUGUCCUGCGCCGUCUUCAGGGCCGCCUUAUGGCUCUCCUCCUGUCGGCCAGUUUUUUGGCCAGGCCAUCACGUUCCUGAGCCAAGGCGUUGCACUCGGCUUCCUUGGUGCGAAGGGCGGUCUGGGCCCCACCUAGCUGCUCCCUCAAAUCGGCAUUGGCCCCUGCAGAUAUGAAGAAGAAGAAGAAAGCAAUAAGGAAGAAGUCGUCAGGAAAGAUCCGACCCGACUGCUCAGCAGUCGGCCCGAAUCUCGGGGACUACACCCAGUGGGUGCGCUGACGCGCCCCCACAUGAGAUAAAAAAUGAAGCACUUACUCCGGAUCUCAGUCAGAUCAGUGGUCUUCUGGUUCAUCUCCCGGGCCUGGGAGUUGAAGGCAGCCGCGCGGAGGUUGUGAUAGUCCUGCAAAUAGGACAAAGGUGCGAAUAAGAACAAGACAUCAAUCAAAGUCUACUAAGAAGUUCCAAGCCGCCUGCUCAGCAGCCGACUCGGAACUCGGGGACUACACCUAGUGGGUGCGCUGACGCGCCCCCACGGAAGAAAUCAAGAGCGAUCGACGAAAAGCGGGAAGACUCACCCGAAUGGCCGACCGCGUUGCAAGAAACUCUUGAGUAUACUGCUUCAGCGCGGCGGCCUAGGACUGAAGCCGGUUCCGGACGUCCUGUGCCGCCACGUUCAGCACGGCCGUCCCACCGCCCGGCGUCCACCCCAGCGAGCUGACGCUGGCCGUCUCCAGAUCCUGGGCCGACGAGCUGGAGCCCGCGGCCUUCUACGGGUCCGGCGCUGAAGUCGCCUUCCCUGCGCGCCGACGAGACGGCGACAGGACCACAAGAUCCGCCCUCACAGUCGGCUCGCCUCCAGCUGGCUGCUCAGGCGGCGCGUCAGGCCGGCUGCCUUGGCCCGUUACAGUCGGCGAUGGCGGGGCUGCAUCCCUCUCCAGGACGACUGUGUCGCCCUCCUCCCUCUCCGUCGCCGGCUGGUCGCGGUCGGCUUCCUCUGGCGGGGGCACUGGGAUAUUGGGAGCCAUGGUGCGAAGGGGGAUGAUGACCUGCGGAGGCUGGUUACGCAGGGCCUCCGCCGCCCUCUCCGCGGCCGCAGCCUCCGCUUGAGCCUUGGCUGCUGCGUCGGCUUGCGCCUCUGCCGACUCCUCCGUCGUCUCCUGAGCCACCCUGGCGGCGGCCACCCUCUGCUCCUCCGCCUCCUGCUCCUCCCGCGCCUCCCGCACGUUCCGCUCCGUCGCCGCUAGGAGAUCGGCAUAGGGGUCCACGCGGCGGGUGCUCACAGACCCUCCCGUCGCUCCAACUACGGAGGCGGCAGUGGUCCGCUCGAGAGAAAGCGGAGCCCUGUUUGAUAAGUCAAGGAAAAUGCUUAGAAGAAUGCCAACCGAAGAGAAAAAAGAAAGGCGUGAGAGAAUUGACACUUACGCUGAAACCGCAUGCGGCUGCUUCACCACCUUGCGGAAGCGGGCUGCCUUCACGGCCGCCUCGUCCCGCUUGGUCGCCGCUGCAGAACCCUUGGGCUUCUACGGCCGACUGCCAAAGAGGGCCGGCGCGGCCCGGCGUUUCUGUGCGCCACCACGAACAGCCGGCGCUGCAGAUGAGCCCACGCCUUGAUGAUCGGGCGCCAGCUGACGGUGCAGAACGACUUCGGUCUCGUCGUCAUCCGGCCAGUCCUCGAAGCUGACCCCGAGCCCGGAGUCGCCUGCCUCGCCGCCUCCCCCUACGGCGUCGUCGUCUAGAGCGGCCGCCCCCAAGUCGGGAUCGUCCAAGUCGUCCGUCGCACGGUCGGGGACGAACUGGCGCUCCACCCCCGCGGCUCCGGCCGACGGUUGAAGGAGGGGGAUCUGUAAAAAACAAGCCGACUGGUCAAGAGUUGGCCAGCAUGAACUCGGCAACAAAGAGAAGAAGAAAAGAAGGGAAGCCUACCAAAGGCGGGGGAUUGGCGCGAGAGUACGGGUCCUUGCCGAACCGCCACUCCUCGGUGAGCUUGCAGUUGGAUAUAAUUCACCAUGUAAGAUACCUCGUCAUGAGGCAUCUCCUUGGGGCUUAGCCGACUUGGGUCGAAACGACCGCUCAUCUGGCAAAUCAUGUGAGGGCGGCCUUGGAGUGGGAGCACCCGGCGAUCCACGAAGACGGCUAUCAGGUCGGACCCGGUCAGGCCUUCCGACUGGAUCAGCACCCGGAGCCGUGCGAUAGCGGCGGCACCAGCCGGCGACAGCGUCUUGGCUCGGUAGGACCACGAAGGCCGCCUCCCAGCCGGCGGGCCGGCUGCGUAAGCCGGCAGGUUGACAAAGUCGCCUUGCGGAGCGACGUUCUUCAUGUAGAAGUAAGAUUUUUGCCAGAGCUUCACCGACUGGAUCAACGCGAUGGGCGGAAACGGGUUGUCGCCCGUCGGUCUCCGCACGGCGAUGAAAGCGCCGCAUGGGGCAGGCACGCCCGCGAUGACGGUGCCAAGCUUGGACUGGAAGAAUUCCCCCCAAAGUUCGAGGGUGGGGAGGACGCCAAGGAAGCCUUCGCACAGAGUGACGAAGGCCGACAGCAGCACCACCGUGUUUGGAGUAAGGUGGUGUGGCUGGAGAUUGUAGAACUCAAGAAAGGAGCGGAAGAAACCGCUCGCCGGCAGGCCAACGCUGUGCAGGCAGUGCGAGCGAAAGAUUACCCGCUCAUCUUCCUCCGGCGCCGGCGAGAUCUCCCUCUCCGGCGCGAGACGGACCCGCACAUAAUCUGUGCCCGGCAACCGCCGCGUCUUGCGGAGGAAGUCGACGUAGUCCUCGUGGACAUUGGAGCCAUCCCAGGAGCUGGACCGCGCCAUGAGGACGGAGAGGCGACGGGAAAAGCGCGACGGCGGAGGGUGCGCGAUUCAGCUGCAGCAAAGCCACGGCGCACCGAGAAGAUUGGUGGAAGGGCGGCGCGGUGGCGAGUAGCUGUGGCGACGGAGAGGAAGAAGUGCAAGAAAAUGGCGGAGCGAGGGCGAGCGUGCGAGCGUCUGCCGCUCCCCCUCCUCCCCCUACUUAUAGCCUCGUGCGGCGAAGCCGAGGAGGCGAGGCGUGGGGGGACGUGGGAUUAACUGCGCCCACUCCCCCAUGCCCCACGAUUAUUACGCCCUAACGACGUGCGAAAAUUGUCGUCGCAAGGCGAGCGGCCCAUUUGGGCUACAGAAGAUCCACACUUGGGACGAGGCAUGGAAGUGGUGGGCCCCGGUCUGCGGCGACGUCCUGUCGGGCGCGUGGGCUGGCAGGCCCUUCCAACCGAAGGGUGCCAUGUGGCGCGCGGGCGGCGAGCGGCCAGCCCGCAGCCUGGCUUGUGCGUCAGCUGGUUCCCGCCUUCAGACUUCAAAAAACCUCGCCGAGACGGCACGCCUGAAUGAAGCCAGCUCCUAGCUGCCAGCUCUUCGGGAUAGGUAGCUGAUUGAGCUUCUCGUUCCCUGUUCAGCCACGAAGCCCAACCAGCUUCGGGGACUACUGUCGGAGUAAAUGACCACGGGUAGCCUAGCCGGCUCCCCCUGGUUCCUCAAAACAUGACGGGCCGAUCAAGCCUUCAAGCACCCAAGGCAUGGGGCCGCCUUCCCUUGGCCGGCUGUCUUACAGGCCGACUACCAGAAGGCGGCCCGGCCCUAAAACUCUCAUGAAGAAAGCCACGAGAGGGUCGACUCCAAGAAGCCGGCCACGAGAAGACCGACUCCAAGAAUCCGAACCCUGGCAAGCGGCCAAGAUCGUGCCCUCAAAGCCUGCACCCACAUAACGGUGAUGAGACGGGGCGUGGCAACAGUGAAGCCUGCCACCCCCGAAUCCCGGAGCACGCAUGGCCACAGCACGCCGUACGGGUCAGCCAUGACCCGUCCGGCGUGGCACUGUUGCCAUGCUGACCAUGACGCCACCCACGACAGGCUGUCAGUACGGCCCGCGGGCGGCGGGCCCCUUCAGUCAGAGAGACACCCGAAGGCGGCCACGCCUCCUCCAGUCGGCCUGGGACGUAGCCGGCUCUCACCAGCCGGCUCGCUCCCUCCCUCGAAGUACGCGCACCAUUAAGGAGACAAGACGAGGUAAGUGUUGGGGAACGUAGUAAUUUCAAAAAAAUUCCUACGCACACGGAAGAUCAUGGUGAUGCAUAGCAACGAGAGGGGAGAGUGUUUUCCACAUACCCUCGUAGACCGAAAGCGGAAGCGUUAGAACAACGCGGUUGAUGUAGUCGUACGUCUUCAUGGCCCUACCUAUCAAGCACCGAAACUACGGCACCUCCGAGUUCUAGCACACGUUCAGCUCGAUGACGAUCCCCGGACUCCGAUCCAGCAGAAUGUCAGGGAAGAGUUCCGUCAGCACAACGGCGUGGUGACGAUCUUGAUGUUCUACUGUCGCAGGGCUUCGCCUAAGCACCGCUACAAUAUUAUCGAGGACUUUGGUGGAGGGGGGCACCGCACACGGCUAAGAGAUCAAGAGAUCAAUUGUUGUGUCUAUGAGGUGCCCCCUCCCCCGUAUAUAAAGGAGUGGAGGAGAGGGGGCCGGCCAAGGGGGUGGCGCGCCCUAGGGGGGAGUCCAACCCCAAACGGGAGUAGGACUCCCCCCUUUCCUAUUAGGAGUAGGAGAGGGAAGGAAGAGAGGGGAGGGAAGAAGGAAAGGGGGGCCGGCCCCCCUCCCAAUUCGGAUUGGGCUUGGGGGCGCGCACCCUCCAUUGCUCCUUCUCCCUCCUUUCCACUAAGGCCCAAUAAGGCCCAUAUACCUACGGGGGGGUUCCGAUAACCUCCCGGAGCUCCGGUAUAGUCCCAAUCUCACCCGGAACCUUUCCGGUGUCCAAUAUAUCGAUCUUUAUGUCUCGACCAUUUCGAGACUCCUCGUCAUGUCCGUGAUCACAUCCGGGACUCCGAACAACCUUCGGUACAUCAAAAACCAUAAACUCAUAAUAAAACUGUCAACGAAACCUUCAGCGCCCAGACCCUAUGGGUUCGAGAACUAUGUAGACAUGACCUAGAACUGUUUCCGGUCAAUAACCAAUAGCGGAACCUGGAUGCUCAUAUUGGCUCCUACAUAUUCUACGAAGAUCUUUAUCGGUCAAACCGCAUAACAACAUACGUUGUUCCCUUUGUCAUCGGUAUGUUACUUGCCCAAGAUUUGAUCGUCGGUAUCUCAAUACCUAGUUCAAUCUCAUUACCGGCAAGUCUCUUUACUCGUUAUGUAAUGCAUCAUUCCGUAACUAACUCAUUAGCUACAUUGCUUGCAAGGCUUAUAGUGAUGUGCAUUACCGAGAGGGCCCAGGGAUACCUCUCCGACAAUCGGAGUGACAAAUCCUAAUCUCGAAAUACGUCAACUCAACAAGUACCUUUGGAGACACCUGUAGAGCACCUUUAUAAUCACCCAGUUACGUUGUGACGUUUGGUAGCACACAAAGUGUUCCUCCGGUAAACGGGAGUUACAUAAUCUUGUAGUCAUAGGAACAUGUAUAAGUCAUGAAGAAAGCAAUAGCAACAUACUAAACGAUCAAGUGCUAAGCUAACGGAAAGGGUCAAGUCAAUCACAUCAUUCUCCUAAUGAUGUGAUCCCGUUAAUCAAAUGACAACUCGUGUCUAUGGUUAGGAAACUUAACCAUCUUUGAUUUACGAGCUAGUCAAGUAGAGGCAUUCUAGUGACACUAUGUUUGUCUAUGUAUUCACACAUGUAUUAUGUUUCCGAGUAAUACAAUUCUAGCAUGAAUAAUAAACAUUUAUCAUGAUAUGAGGAAAUAAAUAAUAACUUUAUUAUUGCCUCUAGGGCAUAUUUCCUUCAGUCUCCCACUUGCACUAGAGUCAAUAAUCUAGAUUACACAGUAAUGAUUCUAACACCCAUGGAGUCUUGGUGUUAAUCAUGUUUUGCUCGUGGAAGAGGCUUAGUCAACAGGUCUGCUACAUUCAGAUCCGUAUGUAUCUUGCAAAUCUCUAUGUCUCCAACCUGGACUUGGUCCCGGAUGGAAUUGAAGCGUCUCUUGAUGUGCUUGGUUCUCUUGUGAAAUCUGGAUUCCUUUGCCAAGGCAAUUGCACCUGUAUUGUCACAAAAGAUUUUCAUUGGACCCGAUGCACUAGGUACGACACCUAGAUCGGAUAUGAACUCCUUCAUCCAGACUCCUUCAUUUGCUGCUUCAGAAGCAGCUAUGUACUCCGCUUCACAUGUAGAUCCCGCUACGACGCUUUGUUUAGAACUGCACCAACUGACAGCUCCACCGUUUGAUAUAAACACGUAUCCGGUUUGCGAUUUAGAAUUGUCUGGAUCAGUGUCAAAGCUUGCAUCGACGUAACCAUUUACGACUAGCUCUUUGUCACCUCCAUAAACGAGAAACAUAUCCUUAGUCCUUUUCAGGUAUUUCAGGAUGUUCUUGACCGUUGUCCAGUGAUCCACUCAUGGAUUACUUUGGUACCUCCCUGCUAAACUAAUAGCAAGGCACACAUCAGGUCUGGUACACAGCAUUGCAUACAUGAUAGAGCCCAUGGCUGAAGCAUAGGGAACUUCUUUCAUUUUCUCUCUAUCUUCUGCAGUGGUCGGGCAUUGAGUCUGACUCAACUUUACACCUUGUAAUACAGGCAAGAAUCCUUUCUUUGCCUGAUCCAUUUUGAACUUUUUCAAAACUUUAUCAAGGUAUGUGCUUUGUGAAAGUUCAAUCAAGCGUCUUGAUCUAUCUCUAUAGAUCUUGAUGCCCAAUAUGUAAGCAGCUUCACCGAGGUCUUUCAUUGAAAAACUCUUAUUCAAGUAUCCCUUUAUGCUAUCCAGAAAUUCUAUAUCAUUUCCAAUUAACAAUAUGUCAUCUACAUAUAAUAUCAGAAAUGCUACAGGGCUCCCACUCACUUUCUUGUAAAUACAGGCUUCUCCAAAAGUCUGUAUAAAACAAUAUGCUUUGAUCACACUAUCAAAGCGUUUAUUCCAACUCCGAGAUGCUUGCACCAGUCCAUAAAUGGAUCGCUGGAGCUUGCACACUUUGUUAGCACCUUUUGGAUCGACAAAACCUUCCGGCUGCAUCAUAUACAACUCUUCUUACAGAAAUCCAUUCAGGAAUGCAGUUUUGACAUCCAUUUGCCAAAUUUCAUAAUCAUAAAAUGUGGCAAUUGCUAACAUGAUUCGGACAGACUUAAGCAUCGCUACGGGUGAGAAAGUCUCAUCGUAGUCAACCCCUUGAACUUGUCGAAAACCUUUUGCAACAAGUCAAGCUUUGUAGACAGUAACAUUACCAUCAGCGUCAGUCUUCUUCUUAAAAAUCCAUUUAUUCUCGAUGGCUUGCCGAUCAUCGGGCAAGUCAACCAAACUCCACACUUUGUUCUCAUACAUGGAUCCCAUCUCAGAUUUCAUGGCUUCAAGCCAUUUUGCGGAAUCUGGGCUCAUCAUCGCUUCCUCAUAGUUCGUAGGCUCGCCAUGGUCAAGUAACAUGACCUCCAAAAUAGGAUUACCAUACCACUCUGGCGCGGAUCUUACUCUGGUUGACCUACGAGGUUCUGUAGUAACUUAUUCUGAAGUUUCAUGAUCAUCAUCAUUAGCUUCCUCACUUAUUGGUGUAGUCGUCACAGGAACCGGUUUCUGUGAUGAACUAUUUUCCAAUAAAGGAGCAGGUACAGUUACCUCAUCAGGUUCUACUUUUCUCCCACUCACUUCUUUCGAGAGAAACUCCUUCUCUAAAAAGGAUCCAUUCUUUGCAACAAAUGUCUUGCCUUCGGAUCUAUGAUAGAAGGUGUACCCAACAGUUUCCUUUGGGUAUCCUAUGAAGACACAUUUCUCCGAUUUGGGUUCGAGCUUAUCAGGUUGAAGCUUUUUCACAUAAGCAUCGCAGCCCCAAACUUUAAGAAAUGACAACUUUGGUUUCUUGCCAAACCAUAGUUCAUAAGGCGUCGUCUCAACGGAUUUUGAUCGUGCCCUAGUACGAUUACGACGUUCGAACACACCAUUACGCUGUGGUGUUCCGGGUGGCGUGAGUUGCGAAACUAUUCCGCAUUGCUUCAAAUGUAAACCAAACUCGAACCUCAAAUAUUCUCCUCCACGAUCAGAUCGUAGAAACUUUAUUUUCUUGUUACGAUGAUUUUCAACUUCACUCUGAAAUUCUUUGAACUUUUCAAAUGUUUCAGACUUAUGUUUCAUUAAGUAGAUAUACCCAUAUCUGCUCAAAUCAUCUGUGAAGGUGAGAAAAUAACGAUAUCUGCCACGAGCCUCAACAUUCAUUGGACCACAUACAUCAGUAUGUAUGAUUUCCAACAAAUCAGUUGCUCUCUCCAUAGUACCGGAGAACGAUGUUUUAGUCAUCUUGCCCAUGAGGCAUGGUUCGCAAGUACCAAGUGAUUCAUAAUCAAGUGAUUCCAAAAGUCCAUCAGUAUGGAGUUUCUUCAUGCGCUUUACACCAAUAUUACCUAAACGGCAGUGCCACAAAUAAGUUGCACUAUCAUUAUCAACUCUGCAUCUUUUGGCUUCAACAUUAUGAAUAUGUGUAUCAUUACUAUCGAGAUUCAUCAAAAAUAGACCACUCUUUAAAGGUGCAUGACCAUAAAAGAUAUUACUCAUAUAAAUAGAACAACCAUUAUUCUCAGAUUUAAAUGAAUAACUGUCUAGCAUCAAACAAGAUCCAGAUAUAAUGCUCAUGCUCAACGCUGGCACCAAAUAACAAUUAUUUAGGUCUAAAACUAAUCCCGAAGGUAGAUGUAGAGGUAGCGUGCCGACGGCGAUCACAUCGACUUUGGAACCAUUUCCCACGCGCAUCGUCACCUCGUCCUUAGCCAGUGUCCGCUUAAUCUGUAGUCCCUGUUUCGAGUUGCAAAUAUUAGCAACAGAUCUAGUAUCAAAUACCCAGGUGCUACUGCGAGCUCUGGUAAGGUACACAUCAAUAACAUGUAUAUCACAUAUACCCUUGUUCACCUUGCCAUCCUUCUUAUCCGCCAAAUACUUGGGGUAGUUCCGCUUCCAGUGACCAGUCUGCUUGCAGUAGAAGCACUCAGUCUCAGGCUUAGGUCCAGACUUGGGUUUCUUCUCCUGAGCAGCAACUUGUUUGCUGUUCUUCUUGAAGUUCCCCUUCUUUUUCCCUUUGCCCUUUUUCUUGAAACUGGUGGUCUUAUUGACCAUCAACACUUGAUGCUCCUUCUUGAUUUCUACCUCCGCAGCUUUUAGCAUUGCGAAGAGCUCGGGAAUUGUCUUUUCCAUCCCUUGCAUAUUAUAGUUCAUCACGAAGCUCUUAUAGCUUGGUGGCAGUGAUUGAAGAAUUCUGUCAAUGACGCUAUCAUCCGGAAGAUUAACUCCCAGUUGAAUCAAGUGAUUGUUAUACCCAGACAUUCUGAGUAUAUGCUCAUUGACAGAACUAUUCUCCUCCAUCUUGCAGCUAUAGAACUUAUUGGAGACUUCAUAUCUCUCAAUCCGGGCAUUUGCUUGAAAUAUUAACUUCAACUCCUGGAACAUCUCAUAUGCUCCAUGACGUUCAAAACGUCGUUGAAGUCCCGAUUCUAAGCCGUAAAGCAUGGCACACUGAACUAUCGAGUAGUCAUCAGCUUUGCUCUGCCAGACAUUCACAACAUUUGGUAUUGCUCCUGCAGCAGGUUUGGCACCCAGCGGUGCUUCCAGGACGUAAUUCUUCUGUGCAGCAAUGAGGAUAAUCCUCAAGUUACAGACCCAGUCCGUGUAAUUGCUACCUUCAUCUUUCAACUUUGCUUUCUCAAGGAACGCAUUAAAAUUCAACGGAACAACAGCACGAGCCAUCUAUCUACAACAAACAUAGACAAGCAAAAUACUAUCAGGUACUAAGUUCAUGAUAAAUUUAAGUUCAAUUAAUCAUAUUACUUAAGAACUCCCACUUAGAUAGACAUCUCUCAAAUCAUCUAAGUGAUCACGUGAUCCAAAUCAACUAAACCAUAACCGAUCAUCACGUGAAAUGGAGUAGUUUUCAAUGGUGAACAUCACUAUGUUGAUCAUAUCUACUAUAUGAUUCACGCUCGACCUUUCGGUCUCAGUGUUCCGAGGCCAUAUCUGUAUAUGCUAGGCUCGUCAAGUUUAACCUGAGUAUUCUGCGUGUGCAAAACUGGCUUGCACCCGUUGUAGAUGGACGUAGAGCUUAUCACACCCGAUCAUCACGUGGUGUCUGGCACGACGAACUUUGGCAACGGUGCAUACUCAGGGAGAACACUUUUAUCUUGAAAUUUAGUGAGAGAUCAUCUUAUAAUGCUACCGUCAAUCAAAGCAAGAUAAGAUGCAUAAAAGAUAAACAUCACAUGCAAUCAAUAUAAGUGAUAUGAUAUGGCCAUCAUCAUCUUGUGCUUGUGAUCUCCAUCUCCGCAGCACCGUCAUGAUCACCAUCAUCACUGGCGCGACACCUUGAUCUCCAUCGUAGCAUCGUUGUCGUCUCGCCAACUAUUGCUUCUACAACUAUCGCUACCGCUUAGUGAUAAAGUAAAGCAAUUACAGGGCGAUUGCAUUUCAUACAAUAAAGCGACAACCAUAUGGCUCCUGCCAGUUGCCGAUAACUCGGUUACAAAACAUGAUCACCUCAUACAAUAAAAUAUAGCAUCACGUCUUGACCAUAUCACAUCACAACAUGCCCUGCAAAAACAAGUUAGACGUCCUCUACUUUGUUGUUGCAAAUUUUACGUGGCUGCUACGGGCUAAGCAAGAACUGUUCUUACCUACGCAUCAAAACCACAAUGAUAGUUCGUCAAGUUAGUGUUGUUUUAACCUUCACAAGGAUCGGGCGUAGCCACACUCGGCUCAACUAAAGGUUGAGAAACAGACACCGGCUAGUCACCUGUGUGCAAAGCACGACGGUAAAACCAGUCUCGCGUAAGCGUACGCGUAAUGUCGGUCCGGGCCGCUUCAUCCAACAAUACCGCUGAACCAAAGUAUGACAUGCUGGUAAGCAGUAUGACUUGUAUCGCCCACAACUCACUUGUGUUCUACUCGUGCAUAUAACAUCAACGCAUAAAACCUAGGCUCGGAUGCCACUGUUGGGGAACGUAGUAAUUUCAAAAAAAAUCCUACGCACAUGGAAGAUCAUGGUGAUGCAUAGCAACGAGAGAGGAGAGUGUUGUCCACGUACCCUCAUAGACCGAAAGCGGAAGCGUUAGAACAACGCGGUUGAUGUAGUCGUACGUCUUCACGGCCCGACCGAUCAAGCACCAAAACUACGGCACCUCCGGGUUCUAGCACACGUUCAGCUCGAUGACGAUCCCCGGACUCCGAUCCAGCAGAAUGUCGGGGAAGAGUUCCGUCAGCACGAUGGUGUGGUGAGGAUCUUGAUGUUCUACUGUCGCAGGGCUUCGCCUAAGCACCGCUACAAUAUUAUCGAGGACUUUGGUGGAGGGGGGCACCGCACACGGCUAAGAGAUCAAGAGAUCAAUUGUUGUGUCUAUGAGGUGCCCCCCUCCCCCGUAUAUAAAGGAGUGGAGGAGAGGGGGCCGGCCAAGGGGGUGGCGUGCCCUAGGGGGGGAGUCCAAGCCCAACCGGGAGUAGGACUCCCCCCUUUCCUAUUAGGAGUAGGAGAGGGAAGGAAGAGAUGGGAGGGAAGAAGGAAAGGGGGGCCGGCCCCCCUCCCAAUUCGGAUUGGGCUUGGGGGGGCGCCCCCUCCUUUGCUCCUUCUCCCUCCUUUCCACUAAGGCCCAAUAAGGCCCAUAUACCUACGGGGGGGUUCCGAUAACCUCCUGGAGCUCCGGUAUAGUCCCAAUCUCACCCGGAACCUUUCCGGUGUCCAAAUAUAGUCGUCCAAUAUAUCGAUCUUUAUGUCUCGACCAUUUCGAGACUCCUCGUCAUGUCCGUGAUCACAUCCGGGACUCCGAACAACCUUCGGUACAUCAGAAACCAUAAACUCAAAAUAAAACUGUCAACGAAACCUUAAGCGUGCGGACCCUACGGGUUCGAGAACUAUGUAGACAUGACCUAGAACUGUUUCCGAUCAAUAACCAAUAGCGGAACCUGGAUGCUCAUAUUGGCUCCUACAUAUUCUACGAAGAUCUUUAUCGGUCAAAUCGCAUAACAACAUACGUUGUUCCCUUUGUCAUCGGUAUGUUACUUGCCCGAGAUUUGAUCGUCGGUAUCUCAAUACCUAGUUCAAUCUCGUUACCGGCAAGUCUCUUUACUCGUUAUGUAAUGCAUCAUUCCGUAACUAACUCAUUAGCUACAUUGCUUGCAAGGCUUAUAGUGAUGUGCAUUACCGAGAGGGCCCAAAGAUACCUCUCCGACAAUCGGAGUGACAAAUCCUAAUCUCGAAAUACGUCAACUCAACAAGUACCUUUGGAGACACCUGUAGAGCACCUUUAUAAUCACCCAGUUACGUUGUGACGUUUGGUAGCACACAAAGUGUUCCUCCGGUAAACGGGAGUUACAUAAUCUCAUAGUCAUAGGAACAUGUAUAAGUCAUGAAGAAAGCAAUAGCAACAUACUAAACGAUCAAGUGCUAAGCUAACGGAAUGGGUUAAGUCAAUCACAUCAUUCUCCUAAUGAUGUGAUCCCGUUAAUCAAAUGACAACUCAUGUCUAUGGUUAGGAAACUUAACCAUCUUUGAUUUACGAGCUAGUCAAGUAGAGGCAUUCUAGUGACACUAUGUUUGUCUAUGUAUUCACACAUGUAUUAUGUUUCCGGGUAAUACAAUUCUAGCAUGAAUAAUAAACAUUUAUCAUGAUAUGAGGAAAUAUAACUUUAUUAUUGCCUCUAGGGAAUAUUUCCUUCAGUAAGGCUACAGUGGGAGCCCGCCAGGUGGCGGCACUGUAGCCAUGCUUACCUCGACAAAGCCCUCGUCAUCAAGAGUGAGGCAACAGUAACCAGCUCCUGACAAGACCCCCAAGCGGUGGGACCUGCCUGUCGACCAAAAGGCCGGCAGCCGGCGGGACCCACCAGUCGACGUGCCCCAGCGGCUGACGGAGAAGCCGGCGAACAUAGACACUGACGGCUAGGGCCCACGCCCAGCCGGAUUACCAUUGUACCCCUGGGGGGUAGGCCUAUAUAAACCCCCAGGGCACCCAUGCAAAGGGUGGAUCUCUGAUAGUUUCACACACUUCAUUGAGGGGAGAAAAGAGCUAGCCUUGCCCUUCUUCCUCCUCUCACCGAACAGCUCAAGGAGCCUCUUGUAGCCACUUGUUGAUCUAGUGAUCAUGCGGAGACCCCGCAGAGCAGGAUUAGGGGUGUUAUCUCCACGGAGAGCCCCAAACCUGGGUAAGAUCCGCCGGCGUGCAUGUCUUCGCCUCAUCCCGUUUCCAGGCACCGGCGAUGUCUUAUUGGCUCCCACAAUGAUAAGCCACCCGUUGGCAUAUGUCGCACCUACCACCCGACACUUGCACAUGAACUACAUCAUCGGGGUUGAGCAGAUAUCUCAUAUCUCUGUCGCUAACCCGUACUACAUGCACAAGGGCUUCUUGGGAGUCUGCGCAAAGCAUGGUGAAUACGCGAGGGAUUACAUCGUGAGUUUCAUGCUCGCCAAUAAGGACAAGGAGGAGAUUCUCGUGCCUUAUCAUCCCGUGUAAGUCAGCCGCGCUGCUAUCCUUCCUUCGAUUUCAAUCAUUCAUUUGCACGGUGGAGGCUAAUUAAUUUGAGGUGUACUUAUUUUGCGCAGCGGCGGGCGCGCCGUCCUCAUCAUCCUCUACCCCUGAUUCUCCCACGCUCUUUACUUGGACUCAUCGAAGAACAUUCACAAAAAGGAUUACACCCACAUCAAGGAUGUUCUCGACAGUGCUAUGUUUUACUACCAAGCAAGGGGUGGAGAGGUCAGGGACAAGAAGAGAAGGGGCGGCAGGGUCGCCUUCAGCCAUAAGACCGACUUCUGCUGCAUCCAGCAACCGAACGAUUCUCUUAAUGAUGGAUUCUAUGUCCUACACCACAUGCUGGAGUACAGACGGGAUCACCAGAACCUUCGCAUGUCACCUAGAUCCGGCGAUGCCCAUAUUCUGCAACGGGCAAAGGACAUAGGAGAUAUCGAGGAUCAUCGACUUCGAGCUGAGUUCUAUAACAUCCAGCACGAACUUGCCCAAAUCAUCAUGAAGGAGGUCGUCGGAAAAACAGGGAUGUUCUACGGAGAAGGACAAAUGUCGCGGGAAGACGUCUGAACAUGGAUAGCCUCUCAGCGUCUCGACAUGAAGCCUUUCACUAAGCUCGAGGACUAUCUCCCUGACAUGGAUGGAUGGCACGACAUGGUGGAGUGAUUGUCGAUAUAUGACAAUGUGUCCGUUUGUCCAUACUUUCUGUGUGACAAAACUUUGAGUUAUGCACGGUGAAACUUUAUUUGUGAUGUAAUUAAACCGUCCUCCUCCUCGACUAGCGAAAAUCACUCUAGUUAGGACAUUUUGGGUACGAUGAACUUUGUUAUUUAUGCUUAUGAUAUGUUGUUUCUAUUUUUGCCAAGUCUGUCUCUUUCUGUUGCUCAACUAUAUAUGUUGCAUAUCAUCGACUCAUGUGACGAUGCAGGUGCAUAGAUCAUAGAUGGCAAAGAAGUGCUACUCCAGGAGUAUAUAUACGACGAGUGGCCGGAGUGUCAGGCCCAGGUGUACCGGUUUCCGGUUUCCGAGCGACAGGCAGUAGUUAGUUUAGGUUCACGCUAAUGCGAGAGAGGGAUACGAACUCAUGUACUCAAAGUGAUAGCUCUUCUCGCGUAUAUCAUUGUUUAGAUGGAUGACGAUGUAUUUGCAAGUAAUCGAGACUUGUAUCGCUAUUUUCGAGAUGAUGACGAGAGACCACUUUGUGCUGGAUGAUGAUUAUGAUGAUGACAUGAUUUGAUGAGACUAAUUGUAUGUAUAUGCUAUGAUUACAUUUGUAUGUGUAUGAUAUGCUAAAGAUUAUUGUAUAAAGCUUAUUCAAAUACAAAACAAAUAUGUAGGGAAAAAAACUAAUAAAACUAGUAGUAGCGAGGGGGGAAAAUUUAGCAGUAGCGCCGCCUUACCAGUAGCGCUUCCCUGUAAACAGCGCCGCAGAUAAUAUCAGCAGCGCCCUUUUCUAAAGAGCGCUACAGCUAUUCAUGUAUAGCAGUAGUGUGAGACAACAGGCGCUACUGCUAUACGUUAGCUGUAGCGCCUUGUUAGUAGCGUCAGUUCCCGCGCUACUAAGAGGCCCAAAACCCGCGGUGCUGCUAGGCUUUUCCCUAGUAGUGUAGGAGUGCUAGCUUAGCAGCUUUAAUUCUCUUACUAGCAGGGCAGAGGCGCGGCGUGCCCAUCGUUGAUCAAAUUGUAACUUAAUCUAUUAUUGAUCGAGUCUGCUACCAUAUUGUAUUGUGUUUUCAUAGGUAACUUUUGUGUAAAUUUCUGGUGAGCAGGUAUAUACUUAUGGCUAGAUUGUAUGCUUGUGUGAGAAAGGUACAAUAGAUAAUCUGGAUUGUUUAAUUCGAUUACAUAGCUAGGUGCAUACAUGUGUGUAUGAACAUAGAAAUACAAUAAAAGAAGAUCAUAUUAUGUGCAGGCAAGAAGAAAUUUGUGGUUUGAGAGAUUUCUCGAUUUCUACAUUUUCAUAAGGGGUGGAGAGCAGCCACGGGAGGGAUGGGGGAAGCAAUUGGAGGGGGAUAGGAGCAGCCAUGAGAAGAGACAAAUGAACAACGGGAGAGGAAAAUAGAGAAGCUAUUGCUCGAGGAAGUGUACUGGGUGAAGAUAAGAGAAUGAAGAGAGCUUGAGGUACUCAAAAAACUCACUCGUGUCACCGCUGCCGAUGCAAAGGGUUUACACCCUCGCUGGGGAACUUGACGGUGUUGCACGUUCUAAUCCAUCGGGAGGGAAUCAAGAAGGAGUGCCGCUAGAAGAAAAUCGAUCGGGAGAGGAGCCGCCAGGGUUUGGGGAAUGGUAGGCUGCAUCGUGCUACGAUGUUGCCUCACCCUUGUCCUUUCCGUGUUCUCUUGGCUGCGGAGAUGCGAAGACGAAGGCAUGGUCCAUAAGGGCCGAGGCACAUUCAUACUCGGUGGAGACCUUGGAUAGCGGAUUAAGAUCCAACCCAUGGCGACGAAAGAAUUCAGACCAAACUAUUCUAGUGGAGAGAGGUGGGAGGAGACCGGGAGAGAAAGUGGAAGCGGAAUCGACGGGUGUUUUUUAGAGGAAGUAGCACGUGUAACACAAGGCGGUGCCACCGAAAGUUGGAUGUAGUCUCUAAAAUACUUCAUGUAGUUGUCUAUGGUAGUUUCUAAGAAAAUGAACUGACUACGAACAUAUAAAACAUAAAUUGAGGUACUUUGAUAGUAACCCUAUAACAGAAAUUGAAAAAAAUCAAAUUGUAUACAAUAAUGUCGAUAUAAUCACCGUAUACACCUGUUUAAUUAUAAGUACACUUUAUACUGGAAUUUAUGAAGACUUUACACUGCAACCAAAAUAGAAGGACCUAAUUUUUUUCCUGGCCUCGUUGAAUGGCGUCUCAACGCAAAAUUUUGCAAAAAAGUAGAAGGGUUUCUCACCUUUGAUGUAAUAUCUUUUUUAGUUCUUUUGGUAAUUUUAUCUAAAAAGGAAAAAAUGAAAGUAUUGUUCACACAAUAGUACUAUUCACCCACAAUUAUUGUUUCCCAGAAAAGUGAUGUAAUAUAUAUUUUUAGUUUUUGGUAAUUUUAUCUUAAGGGCAUCUCCAAAGCUGACCUGCAAAUAUCUUUGGUAUAUGUCUGUUUUUAUAUUCGGAUGUGGUCCGCGGACAUGAUGCGGGAGGGAAUCAUCCAAUGCUAAUCACAUAGUAUCUGGUUGGUAGGAGAAAAGGUAUAGGUGGGGAUCAUGUCCGCGGACAUGAUGCGGGAGGGAGCCGUCCAAUGCUAAUCACACGGUAUCCGGUUGAUAGGAGAAAAAAUAGGUGAAGACCAUGCAUGUGGUAGGAUAUUUCUGGUUUAGUGUCUGGUUGGGAAGAGAGAUAGAGGAGAGAGAGACCAUGCAUGUGCAGUUGGGAGGAGAGAGAGAAGAUAUGGACCAUGCAUGUGAUUAGUCAAGUGCAUGUCCGGACUCCGGCAAAGCCCCAUGUUUGUCUCUUAGAUACCGGAAUCCACCGCUAAGCGGAUAUAUACAUGUUUUUGUUGGAUGAAAAAAGUGGUCCGGACGCUGUGGUCCAGACAUAUAGUGGGGGUUUGAGGGUUGUUUUGCGUCCGGACUGCUAAGCUGACAAAUACAGGUUUUUGUUGGAUGACAAAACUGAUCCGAACACUGUGAUGCGGAUAUAUAGUGAAGAUUUGAAGGUUCGUUUUGGACAUUUUUUAAAAAGGGUUGUGAAGGUACUGUUCACAAACAAUAGUGUACGCCCAUAAUUUCUAUUUAUCCACUAUUACCGUUCAUACGAAUGUACUUUCACUAGGUUACUAUUUCUUUUUAACAUUAAUACAGACGCAAGCCCUCAUACAUACGUGCAUACACUCAUCCCUAUGAACGCACACACGUACACCCUACCCCUAUGAGCACCUUCGAGAGACUGGGUCGGCAUGUCAUCUUAAAAUUUACGAAGUCACCUAGGCACCUCAUCGUCGACGGGAACGUCUCCUUCCACUGAAAGCACGUCGCCGAAAAUUCUGAAAUAAAUUCAGAAAUAAAGUGAGCACAGAAUUUAAACCCACUGUCACUUUAACCAUCCAACCACAACAUACACGUGCAUGCCGGGAAAAGCCCCGGCCACAACGGCCAUCGCACGAGAGGAGCUCCUCCUUGACCACAAGGAGAGAGUUUGUUCAUUCAAGACUUGUUUCAGUCGUAACGAAAAGCAAUAAAGCAUGGCAUUGCGCUGUGGCGCCACUGAUAUACGAUCGGCCCCGGUCUCCUUGAUGUGUUGAGAGGAAAUGAGGACACAUCAGCUCGGGCAUGUAUGGGAACUUGGGACCAAGAUACAGCAUCGCACAUGAGGCCCCUUUGCUCCUUUGUUGUUAGUGUUGGCCAUGUCACACGAUGGUGUUGUCCUACAGAAAACGCAAAAGCACAAGGUGGUGUGGGCGUUGGCAAGUGGGGCGCGGGGCCCUGCCUGCUUGUUCUUCGGAUUGCAUGCCAACUAGUGCCAAGUCAUACCUUAUUUUUCCUACUACUUAGGCCAACUCCAGCGCGCCUGUCCAUUCCAUUUGGGUUGAAUCGGACAGAAACGCUAGCCCAACGCACCACCGUAAACGGACGGAUGUUCGUUGUACAGUCUGCCGCUACCAUUUCCGACCCAAAAUUUGGGUUGGAUUUGCGUCGACGCGCACACGGCACUAAUGCGUGCGACGCCCUCCCUUGUCCUUCUCCCUGGGCCGCUUGUCGGUGGCACGUCGUCCAUUCUUCCCCUCCCCCUCAACACUCGACUCCCCUAGCCUCGCUGCCGCAACCCACUUCCGGCGCUUUGAUGUCUACUACGCAGCCUUUUUUAGACUCGUGUUGGGCCUCGAAGCACAUAUUUUGUACAACGGUAGCAAAUUUCUCUCAAGUGGAUGACCUAAGAUUUAUCAAUCUGUGGGAGGCGUAGAAUAAAGAUGGUCUCUCUCAAACAACCCUGCAACCAAAUUACAAAUAGUCUCUUGUGUCCCCAACACACCCAAUACAAUGGUAAAUUGUAUAGGUGUAUUAGUUCGGCGAAGAGAUUGUGAUACAAGUGUAGUAUGGAUAGUAGAUAUAGGUUUUUGUAAUAUGAAAAAUAUAAAAACAGCAAGGUAACUAGUAACAAAAGUGAGCAGAAACGGUAUUGCAAUGCUUGAAAACAAGGCCUAGGGUUCAUACUUUCACUAGUACAAAUUCUCUCAACAAUGAUAACAUAAUUAAACCAUAUGGAAAUCCCUCAACGUGCAACAAAGAAUCACUCCAAAGUUCCUAUCGGAGAACGUAGGAAGAAAACGUGCAUCAACCCCUAUGCAUAGAUUACCACAAUGUCACAUUGGGAAUCCGCAAGUUGAGUGCCAAAACAUAUAUCAAGUGAAUCAACAGAACAUCCCAUUGUCACCACAGAUAUCUCAUCGCAAGACAUAUAUCAAGUAUUCUCAAAUCCAAUACUCAAUCCAACAUAACAAAACCUCAAUUCAUCACAACAAGAGAUGGAGGGGAAGAAACACCAUAUGAUCCAACUACAAAAAAAGAGCUCAUGGUACAUCAAGAUCGUGCCAAAUAAAGAACACGAGAGAGUGAUCAAACACAUAGCUACUGGUAUAUACCCUCAGCCCCGAGGGUGAACUACUCCCUCCUCGUCAUGGAAACCGCCGGGAUGAUGAAGAUGGCCUCCGACGAUGAUUUCCCCCUCAGGCAGGGUGUCAGAACGGGCUCCCGAUUGGUUUUUCGUAGCUACAGAGUUUUGCGGCGGCGGAACUUCUGAUCUAGAGUUCUUUUCGGAAGUUUCUAUAUUUAUCAGAAUUUUUGGUGUCAGAAACAAUAGGGGGGGUGCCCGAGGGGCCCACAAGCCCUCAGGGCGCGCCCCCUGGCUUGUGGUCUCCUCUGGACUCUUCUGGUCCAGCUCCGGUGCUUCGGGGGUCUCUUUUGGUCCAUAAAAAACCACCGUAAAUUUUCAGCUUGUUUGGACUCCGUUUGAUAUUCCUUUUCUGUGACUCAAAAACAAGGGAAAAAAAUAGAAACUAGCACUAGGCUCUAGGUUAAUAGGUUAGUCCCAAAAAUAAUAUAAAAUAGCAUAUUAUUGCAUAUAAAACAUCCAAAACAGAAAUAUAAUAGCAUGGAACAAUCAAAAAUUAUAGAUAUGUUGGAGACGUAUCUAGCAUUUCCAAGCUUAAUUCCUACUCGUCCUCGAGUAGGUAAAUGAUAAAAACGGAUUUUUUAUGUGGAAUGCUACCUAACAUAUUUAUCAAAGCAAUCUUGUUUAUUGUGGCAUGAAUAUUCAGAUCCAUAAGAUUCAAAACAAAAGUUUAAUAUUGACAUAAAAACAAUAAUACUUCAAGCAUACUAAUAAAGCAAACGUGUCUUUUCAAAAUAACAUGGCCAAAGAAAGUUAUCCCUAUAAAAUCAUAUAGUCUGGUUAUGCUCCAUCUUCAUCACACAAAGUAUUUCAUCAUGCACAACCCCGAUGACAAGCCAAGCAAUUGUUUCAUACUUUUAAUGUUCUCAAGCUUUUUCAACUUUCACGCAAUACAUGAGCGUGAGCCAUGUAUAUAGCACUAUAGGUGGAAUAGAAUAUGAUGGUUGUGGAGAAGACAAAAAGAGGAGAUUGUCUCACAUCAAUUAGGCGUACCAAUGGGCUAUGGAGAUGCCCGUCAAUAUAUAUCAAUAUGAGUGAGUAGGGAUUGCCAUACAACGGAUGCACUUUAGAGCUAUAAGUUUAUGGAAGCUCAAAAAGAAACUAAGUGGGUGUGCAUCCAACUCGCUUGCUCACGAAGACCUAGGACAAUUUUGAGGAAGCCCAUCAUUGAAAUAAACAAGCCAAGUUCUAUAAUAAAAAAUUCCCACUAGUAUAUGAAAGUGAUAACAUAGAAGACUCUCUAUCAUGAAGAUCAUGGUGCUACUUUGGAGCACAAGUGUGGAAAAAGGAUAGUAACAUUGUCCCUUCUCUUUUCUCUUAUUUUUUUAAUUUUUUGGCUCUUUGGCCUCUUUUUUCUUUAUUUUCUUUUUUAUAUGGGCUUAUUUGGCCUCUUUUAUUUUCUAAAGUCUGGAGACUCAUCCCAACUUGUGAGGAAAUCAUAGAUUCCAUCAUCCUUUUCUCACAUGGGACAAUGCUCUAAUAAUGAUGAUCAUCACACUUUUAUCUACUUACAACUCAAGAAUUACAACUCGAAACUUAGAACAAAAAGGAACGGUGGAAGUUGCAUGGCAAUAUAUCUCGGAAUGGCUAUGGAAAUGCCAUAAUAGGUAGGUAUGGUGGCUGUUUUGAGGAAGGGUAUAUGGUGGGUGUUGUGCACUGGCGAAAGUUGCAUGGUACUAGAGAGGCUAGCAAUGGUGGAAGGGUGAGAGUGCGUAUAAUCCAUGAACUCAACAUUAGUCAUAAAGAACUCACAUACUUAUUGUAAAAACCUAUUAGUCAUCGAAACAAAGUACUACAUGCAUGCUCCUAGGGGGAUAGAUUGGUAGGAAAAGACCAUCGCUCGUCCCCGACCGCCACUCGUAAGGAAGACAAUCAAAAGAUAAAUCAUGCUCCGACUUCAUCACAUAAUAGUUCACCGUACAUGCAUGCUACGGGAAUCACAAACUUUAACACAAGUAUUUCUACCAAUCCACAAUUACUCACUAGCAUCACUCUAAUACCACCAUCUUUAUAUCUGAAAAUAAAUGCAAGGAAUCAAACUUCUCAUAGAUUCAAUACUCUUUAGAUGAAAGUUUUUAUUAUAUCCCUCUUGGAUGCCCAUCAUAUUAGGACUAAAUUCAUAACCUAAGAAAAUUACAAUGUUGUUUAAGACUCUCAAAAUAAUAUAAGUGAAGCAUGAGAGUUCAUCAAUUUCUAUAAAAUAAAACCACCGCUGUGCUCUAAAAAUAUGUAAGUGAAACACUAGAGCAAAUUGCCUAGCUCAAAAGAUAUAAGUGAAGCACAUAGAGUAUUCUAAUAAAUCACGAUUCAUGUGUGUCCCUCUCAAAAGGUGUGUACAGCAAGGAUGAUUAUGGAAAACUAAAAAGCAAAGACUCAUAUCAUAAAAGACGCUCCAAGCAAAACACAUAUCAUAUGGUGAAUAAAAAUAUAGCCUCAAGUAAAUUUACCGAUGGAUUGAAGACAAAAGAGGGGAUGCCAUCCGGGGCAUCCCCAAGCUAAGAUGUUUGGUUGUCCUUGAAUACUACCAUGGGGUGUCUUGGGCAUCCCCAAGCUUAGGCUCUUGCCACUCCUUAUUCCGUAGGCCAUCAAAAUUUUACCCAAAACUUGAAAACUUCACAAGACAAAAACUCAACAGAAAACUCGUAAGCUCCGUUAGUAUAAUAAAGCAAAUCACCACUUAGGUACUGUUGUGAACUCAUUCUAAAUUUAUAUUGGUGUUAUAUCUACUGUAUUCCAACUUCUCCAUGGUUCAUACCCUCCAAUGCUACCCAUAGAUUCAUUAAAAUAAGCAAACAACACAAAGAAAACAGAAUCUAUCAAAAAUAGAACAGUCUGUCGCAAUAUGGAAACUUCGUAUACUUCUGUAACUCCAAAAAUUCUGAAAAAUUAGGAAAAUAUAGGCACUUUGUACAUACAUCCAGUGUAAAAAAUUCAGCUCAAAAGCAUGCUUCUGUGAAUUUCUAAAAUUCUGGCAAUGAGCACAAAAGUUUCUGUUUUUCAGCAAGAUCAAAUCAACUAUCACCAUAGACCAUCCCAAAGGUCAUACUUGGCACUUUAUUGAAACAAAAACUAUAAAACAUGAUUACUACAGUAUAAUAAUCAUGUGAACACACCAAAAACAGUAGGUAUAAAUAUUGGGUUGUCUUUCAACAAGCGCUUUUCUUUAAUGUCUUUUUAGCUAGUCAUGAUGAUUUCAAUGAUGCUCACAUAAAAGAUAAUAAUUGAAACAUAAUGGGAGCAUCAUGGAGCAUAUGACUAACACAUUUAAGCAUAACCCACUUCCUAUGCCUAGGGGUUUUGUGAGCAAAUAAUUUAUGGGAACAAGAAUUAACUAGCAUAGGAAGGUAAAACAAGCAAAACUUCAAGAUUUUCAACAUAAAGAGAGGAAACUUGAUAUUAUUAAGAUAUGAAAAAGCAUAUGUUCCCCUCUCAUAAUAAUUUUCAGUAGCAUCAUGAAUGAAUUCAACAAUAUAACUAUCAUGUGAGGCAUAAUCCAAUUGAAAAUUAAAAUUAUGAUGACAAGUUUCAUGGUUAUCAUUAUUCUUUAUAGCAUUUAUGUCAUCACAAUAAUCAUCAUAGAUGGCAACUUUUUUAUCAUAGACAAUUGAAACCUCUUCAAAAAUAGUGGAUUCAUCACUAAAUAAAGUCAUGACCUCUCCAAAUCCACUUUUAUCAAUAUUGUGAAAAGAUUCAACACCCUCCAAAAUAGUGGGAUCAUUACUUCCUAAAGUUGACACUCUUCCAAACCAACUUUCAUCAAUAUAAUCAUCAUAAAUAGAAGGCAUGCUAUCAUCAAAAUAAAUUUGCUCAUCAAAACUUGGGGGGCUAAAAAUAUCAUCUUCAUCAAACAUAGCAUCCCCAAGCUUGUAGCUUUUCAUAUCAUUAGCAUCAUGGAUAUUCAAAGAAUUCACACUAACAACAUUGCAAUCAUGCUCAUCAUUCAAAGAUUGUGUGGCAAACAUUUAUUGCAUUCUUCUUCUAACAAUUGGGAACAAUUUUCCUUUCCAUCAUUUUCACGAAAAACAUUAAAAAGAUGAAGCACAUGAGGCAACCUCAAUUCCAUUUUUUUUGUAGUUUUCUUUUAUAGAGUAAACUAGUGCUAAAACAAGAAACUAAAAGAUUCAAUUGCAAGAUCUAAAGAUAUACCAUGAAGCACUCACCUCCCCGGCAAUGGCGCCAGAAAAGAGCUUGAUGUCUACUACGCAACCUUCUUCUUGUAGACUCGUGUUGGGCCUCCAAGCGCAGAGUUUUGUAGGACAGUAGCAAAUUUCCCUCAAGUGGAUGACCUAAGGUUUAUCAAUCCGUGGGAGGCAUAGGAUGAAAAUGGUCUCUCUCAAACAACCCUGUAACCAAAUAACAAAGAGUCUCUUGUGUCCCCAACACACCCAAUACAAUGGUAAAUUGUAUCGGUGCACUAGUUCGGCGAAGAGAUGGUGAUAUAAGUGUAGUAUGGAUAGUAGAUAUAGGUUUUUAUAAUAUGAAAAUAUAAAAACAGCAAGGUAACUAGUAACAAAAGUGAUCACAAACAGUAUUGCAAUGCUUGAAAACAAGGCCUUGGGUAUAUACUUUCACUAGUGCAAUUUCUCUCAACAAUGCUAACAUAAUUAAACCAUAUGGAAAUCCCUCAACAUGCAACAAAGAAUCACUCCAAAGUUCCUAUCAAAGAAUGUAGGACGAAAACGUGCAUCAACCCCUAUGCAUAGAUUACCCCAAUGUCACCUCGGGAAUCCGCAAGUUGAGUGCCAAAACAUACAUCAAGUGAAUCAACAAUACAUCCCAUUGUCACCACAGAUAUCCCAUCGCAAGACAUACAUCAAGUGUUCUCAAAUCCAAUACUCAGUCCAACAUAACGAACCCUCAAAGAGCAAGACUCAAUUCAUCACAACAAGAGAUAGAGGGGGAAGAAAUACCAUAUGAUCCAACUAUAAUAAUAAAGCUCGCGGUACAUCAAGAUCGUGCCAAAUCAAGAACAUGGGGGAGUGAUCAAACACAUAGCUACUAGUGCAUACCCUCAGCCCCGAGGGUGAACUACUCCCUCCUCGUCAUGGAGACCGCCGGGAUGAUAAAGAUGGUGCUUUCCGUAAGAUGCUUGCUAAGUAUGAUGUCAAUCAUAGAAUCACAUCUCCUUGUCAUCCGCAGUCUAGUGGUCAAGUAGAGUUGAGCAAUAGAGAGCUCAAAUUAAUUUUUCAAAAGACUAUGAAUAGAUCUAGAAAGAAUUGGUCCAAAAAACUUGAUGAUGCGUUAUGGGCCUAUAGAACUGCAUACAAAAAUCCUAUGGGUAUGUCUCCUUAUAAGAUGGUUUAUGGAAAAGCGUGUCAUUUACCUCUUGAACUUGAACAUAAGGCAUAUUGGGCUAUUAAAGAGCUCAACUAUGACUUCAAACUUGCCGGUGAGAAGAGGUUGUUUGAUAUUAGCUCACUUGAUGAAUGGAGAACCCAAGCCUAUGAGAAUGCCAAGCUUUUCAAAGAAAAAGUCAAACGCUGGCAUGAUAAGAGGAUACAAAAGCACGAGUUUAACGUAGGAGAUUAUGUGUUAUUAUUCAACUCUCGUUUAAGAUUUUUUGCAGGAAAACUUCUUUCAAAAUGGGAAGGUCCCUACGUUAUCGAGGAGGUCUAUCGUUCUGGUGCUAUAAAAAUCAACAACUUAGAAGGCACAAAUCCGAGGGUGGUAAACGGUCAAAGAAUUAAACAUUAUAUUUCAGGUAAUCCUACCAAUGUUGAAACUAAUAUUAUUGAAACCGUAACCCCUGAGGAAUACAUAAGGGACACUUUCCAGAACGUUCCAGACUCCGAAAAGGUAUAGGUAUGUGAUACGGUAAGUAAACCGACUCCAAAACAACUCCAAUGGCAAUUUUUAUCAGUUUUGGAAUAUUUAAGAAUUUUAGGAAGAAAGAAGUAGUCCGAAAGGGACACGAGGCUCCCACGAGAGAGGAGGGCGCCCCCCCUGUAGGGCGCGCCCCCUGUCUCGUGGGCACCUCGUGUGCCUCCCGGACUCCGUUUUCUUGCACGUUACGUAUUUUGGUCGGUAAAAAUUCAUUAUAUAUACUCCCGAAGGUUUUGACCACCGUAUCACGCAAAUAUCCUCUGGUUUCGUUUCGAGCUGUUUCUGUUGCAGAUCUAGAGCACCAUGACUUCACCCUCCUCCAACAACGAAGACAAGGAUGCUUGGCUAUUGAAGAUAGAGCUGAAAAGAGAAGAACUAGAAGAGAUCAACAAGGAUGAAGGGAUCAAGAAGGCCAUGGAGGUUCAAGUGCCGGCGGUGAAAGAAGAAGACAUCCCUCAACCUUUACCUAACCUUUUCACUCCAACAGAGAUCGAAGCUUCCAAGAUGAUUGAGUUAGCUCGCAUACAGAACAAAUAUCUUACACAGGAGAAUAUUCUGUUGAAGGAUCAUAUCGCCGGACUCAAGGGCAUUAUCCGCAAGUUGGAGGAGCUUUUACGCUCGAUGUGCGAUUAUCCACCGUCAUCAUCACCACCUCCAUCACCUGCGAGGACAUAAUCACAUGAGUAUGGGCACUCCCCUUGGCAACUGCCAAGCUUGGGGGAGGUGCCCCGGUAUCGUAUCACCAUCACACUCCUAUCUUUACCGCUUUAUUUAGUUCGAUCCUUUUAGUAGUAUCUUGAUCUAGUAGAUUGAAGUUUUGAUAUCAAGUAGUUUUGAGUUUUGCAUUGUGAUCUCUUUUUGUAAUCGAGUCCGUGAGCUAUCUAUAAUAAAGAUUAGUGUUGAGUCGAGGGCUUUGCCAUGUUGCUAUGAUCUUGAGAAAGUAGAAAGAAUAAAAGAGUUCAUAUUGAUCUUGUGGAUAGUGAUGACUUCACACAUAGAAAGUAUGAGGCAUAAAAAUUGUUGAGAGUUGAUAAACUUAGCCUUGGUCAUCGUUGCAAUUAAUAGGAAGUGAUACGGAAAGAGGGGUUCACAUAUAAAUAUAUUGUCUUGGACACCUUUUAUAAUUGGGAGCACUCAUUAAGUAUGACAUGCUAAAAGAGUUGACGUUGGACAAGGAAGACAACGUAAUGGUUUAUGUUUUCCGACAUCUCAGUUAAAGUAUAUUGUCAUUGACCUUCCAAACAUGUUGAGCUUGCCUUUCCCCCUCAUGCUAGCCAAAUUCCUUGCACCAAGUAGAGAUACUACUUGUGCUUCCAAAUAUCCUUAAACCCAGUUUUGCCAUGAGAGUCCACCAUACCUACCUAUGGAUUGAGUAAGAUCCUUCAAGUAAGUUGUCAUCGGUGCAAGCAAUAAAAAUUGCUCUCUAAAUAUGUAUGACUUAUUAGUGCAGAGAAAAUAAGCUUUGUACGAUCUUGUUGUGGAAGUAAUAAAAGCGACAGACUGCAUAAUAAAGGUCCACAUACAAGGGGCAAUAUAAAGUGACGUUCUUUUGCAUUAAGAUUUUGUGCAUCAACCCUAAACGCGCAUGACAACCUCUGCUUCCCUCUGCGAAGGGCCUAUCUUCUACUUUAUGUUUUUACUUUAUGCUUGAGUCAAGGUGAUCCUCACCUUUCCCUUUUUCAUUUUAUCCUUUGGCAAGCUCUUCGUGUUUGAAAGAUCAUGAUAUAUAUAUAUAUCCAAUUGGAUGUAAGUUAGCAUGGGCUAUUAUUGUUGACAUCAUCUAAAGGUGAAUACGUUGGGAGGCAACACAAUAAGCCCCUAUCUUUCUCAGUGUCCGGCUGAAACUCCAUAACCACAAGUAUUGCGUGAGUGUUGGCAAUUAUAGAAGACUACAAGAUAGUUGAGUAUGUGAACUUGCUGAAAAGCUCUAUUGUUGACUCUUUCUAAUGUUACGAUAAAUUGCAAUUGCUUCAAUGACUGAGAUUAUAGUUUGUUAGUUCCCAAUGAAGUUUUUGAACCAUACUUGACAUUGUGAAUUGAUUGUUACUUGAGCAUAAGAAAUCAUAUGAUAAAAUCUAUUUAUGUUGCUGCUAUAAGAAUGAUCAUGAUGCCCUCAUGUCCGUAUUUUAUUUUUAUCGACACCUCUAUCUCUAAACAUGUGGACAUAUUUUUCGAGCUCGGCUUCCGCUUGAGGACAAGCGAGGUCUAAGCUUGGGGGAGUUGAUACGUCCAUUUUGCAUCAUGCUUUUAUAUCAAUAUUUAUUGCGUUAUGGGCUGUUGUUACACAUUAUAUCUCAAUACUUAUGGCUAUUCUCUCUUAUUUUACAAGGUUUACCAUGAAGAGGGGGAAUGCCGGCAGCUGGAAUUCUGGCUGGAAAAGGAGCAAACAUUGGAAACCUAUUCUGCACAGCUCCAAAAGUCUUGAAACUCCACGAAACAACUUUUUGGAAUUAAUAAGAAUUUUUGAGCGAAAGAAAUACUCCAGGGGGCCCACACCCUGUCCAGGAGACAGGGGGCGCACCCCCUAUAGGGCGCGCCCCCUAUCUCCUGGGCCCCCUGGUGGGCCUCCGGUGUCCAUCUUCUGCUAUAUCAUCGCUUUUACCCUGGAAAAAAUUGUUCGAAAUAUGCCCUAGAGGCAAUAAUAAAAUGAUUAUUAUUAUAUUUCCUUGUUCAUGAUAAUUGUCUAUUAUUCAUGCUAUAAUUGUGUUAUCUGGAAAUCGUAAUACAUGUGUGAAUACAUAGACCACAACAUGUCCCUAGUGAGCCUCUAGUUAACUAGCUCGUUGAUCAACAGAUAGUCAUGGUUUCCUGACUAUGGACAUUGGAUGUCAUUGAUAAUGGGAUCACAUCAUUGUCCUAAUGAUGUGAUGGACAAGACCCAAUCCUAAGCAUAGCACAAGAUCGUGUAGUUCGUUUUGCUAGAGCUUUUCCAAUGUCAAGUAUCAUUUCCUGAGACCAUGAGAUCGUGUAACUCCCGGAUGCCGUAGGAGUGCUUUGGGUGUACCAAACGUCACAACGUAACUGGGUGACUAUAAAGGUAUACUACAGGUAUCCCCGAAAGUGUCUGUUGGGUUGACACGGAUCGAGACUAGGAUUUGUCACUCCGUAUGACGGAGAGGUAUCUCUGGGCCCACUCGGCAAUGCAUCAUCAUAAUGAGCUCAAAGUGACCAAGUGGUUGGUCACGGGAUCAUGCAUUACGGUACGAGUAAAGUGACUUGCCGGUAACGAGAUUGAACAAGGUAUUGGGAUACCGACGAUCGAAUCUCGGGCAAGUAACGUACCGAUUGACAAAGGGAAUUGUAUACGGGAUCACUUGAAUCCUCGACAUCGUGGUUCAUUCGAUGAGAUCAUCGUGGAACAUGUGGGACCCAACAUGGGUAUCCAGAUCCCGCUAUUGGUUAUUGGCCGGAGAGUCGUCUCGGUCAUGUCUGCAUGUCUCCCGAACCUGUAGGGUCUACACACUUAAGGUUCAGUGACGCUAGGGUUGUAGAGAUACUAGUAUGCGGUAACCCAAAAGUUGUUUGGAGUCACGGAUGAGAUCCCGGACAUCACGAGGAGUUCCGGAAUGGUUCGGAGGUGAAGAAUUAUAUAUAGGAAGUCCAGUUUCGGCCAUCGGGAAAGUUUCGGGGGUCACCGGUAUUGUACCGGGACCACCGGAAGGGUCCCGGGGGUCCACCGGGUGGUGCCACCUAUCCCGGAGGGCCCCAUGGGCUGAAGUGGGGAAGGGAACCAGCCCCUGGUGGGCUAGUGCGCCCCCCUUGGGCCUCCCCUGCGCCUAGGGUUGGAAACCCUAGGGGUGGGGGCGCCCCACUUGACUUGGGGGGCAAGUCCCCCCUUGUCCGCCGCCCCCCUUGAGAUGGGAUCUCUAGGGGCCGGCGCCCCCCCAGGGCCCCUAUAUAAAGAGGGGGAGAGGGAGGGCUGCGCACCCUUGCUCCUGGCGCCUCCCUCUCCCCUCCGCAACACCUCUCCCUCUCGUAGAGCUUGGCGAAGCCCUGCCGAGAUCGCCGCUACUUCCACCACCACGCCGUCGUGCUGCUGGAUCUCCAUCAACCUCUCCCUCCCCCUUGCUAGAUCAAGAAGGAGGAGACGUCUUCCCCAACCGUACGUGUGUUGAACGAGGAGGUGCCGUCCGUUCGGCGCUAGGAUCUCCAGUUAUUUGGAUCACGACGAGUACGACUCCCUCAACCCGGUUCUCUUGAACGCUUCCGCGCGUGAUCUACAAGGGUAUGUAGAUGCACUCCUCUCUCUCGUUGCUAGAUGAUUCCAUAGAUUGAUCUUGGUGAAGCGUAGAAUUUUUUUAUUUUCUGCAACGUUCCCCAACAGUGGCAUCAUGAGCUAGGUCUAUGCAUAGUUUCUAUGCACGAGUAGAACACAAACUUGUUGUGGGCGUAGAUGUUGUCAAUUUUCUUGCCACUUCUAGUCUUAUCUUGUUUCGGCGGCAUCGUGGGAUGAAGCGGCCCCGACCGGCCUUACACGUACGCUUACAUGAGACGGGUUCCACCGACUGACAUGCACUAGUUGCAUAAGGUGGCUAGCGGGUGUCUGUCUCUCCCACUUUAGUCGGAUUGGAUUCGAUGAAAAGGGUCCUUAUGAAGGGUAAAUAGAAAUUGGCAUAUCACGUUGUGGUUUUACGUAGGUAAGAAACGUUCUUGCUAGAAACCUAUAGAAGCCACGUAAAAACAUGCAACAAAAAUUAGAGGACGUCUAACUUGUUUUUGCAGCAUAUGCCUUGUGAUGUGAUAUGGCCAAAAGGAUGUGAUGAAUGAAAUAUAUGUGAUGUAUGAGAUUGAUCAUGUUCUUGUAAUAGGAAUCACGACUUGCAUGUCGAUGAGUAUGACAACCGGCAGGAGCCAUAGGAGUUGUCUUUAUUUUUGUAUGACCUGCGUGUCAUUGAAUAACACCAUGUAAAUUACUUUACUUUAUUGCUAAACACGUUAGCCAUAGAAGUAGAAGUAAUCGUUGGCGUGACAACUUCAUGAAGAGACGAUGAUGGAGAUCAUGAUUAUGGAGAUCAUGGUGUCAUGCCGGUGACGAAGAUGAUCAUGGCGCCCCGAAGAUGGAGAUCAAAGGAUCAAUAUGAUAUUGGCCAUAUCAUGUCACUAUUUGAUUGCAUGUGAUGUUUAUCAUGUUUUGCUUCUUAUUUGCUUAGUACGACGGUAGUAAAUAAGAUGAUCCCUUGUAAUAAUUUCAAGAAAGUGUUCCCCCUAACUGUGCGCCGUUGCGAAAGUUCGUUGUUUCGAAGCACCACGUGAUGAUCGGGUGUGAUAGAUUCUAACGUUCACAUACAAUGGGUGUAAGACAGAUUUACACAUGCAAAACACUUAGGUUGACUUGACGAGCCUAGCAUGUACAGACAUGGCCUCGGAACACAAGAGACCGAAAGGUCGAACAUGAGUCGUAUGGAAGAUAUGAUCAACAUGGAGAUGUUCACCGAUGAUGACUAGUCCGUCUCACGUGAUGAUCGGACACGGUCUAGUUGAGUCGGAUCAUGUAUCACUUAGAUGACUAGAGGGAUGUCUAAUCUGAGUGGGAGUUCAUUAAAUAAUUUGAUUAGAUGAACUUAAUUAUCAUGAACUUAGUCUAAAAACCUUUGCAAAAUGUCUUGUAGAUCAAAUGGCCAACGCUCAUGUCAACCUCAACUUCAACGCAUUCCUAGAGAAAACCAAGCUGAAAGAUGAUGGCAGCAACUAUUCGGACUGGGUCCGGAACCUGAGGAUCAUCCUCACAGCUGCCAAGAAAGCAUAUGUCCUAGAAGGACCGCUAGGUGAAGCACCCAUCCCAAAGAACCAAGACGUUAUGAACGCUUGGCAGUCACGUGCUGAUGAUUACUCCCUCGUUCAGUGCGGCAUGCUUUACAGCUUAGAACCGGGGCUCCAAAAGCGUUUUGAGCAACACAGAGCAUAUGAGAUGUUCGAAGAGCUGAAAAUGGUUUUCCAAGCUCAUGCCCGGGUCGAGAGAUAUGAAGUCUCCGACAAGUUCUACAGUUGUAAGAUGGAGGAACAUAGUUCUGUCAGUGAGCACAUACUCAAAAUGUCUGGGUUGCACAACCGCUUGUCCCAGCUGGACAUUAACCUCCCGGACGAGGCGGUCAUUGACAGAAUUCUUCAGUCGCUCCCACCUAGCUACAAGAGCUUUGUGAUGAACUACAAUAUGCAGGGGAUGGUGAAAACUAUUCCUGAAGUAUUUUCAAUGCUGAAAUCAGCGGAGGUGGAAAUCAAAAAGGAAUAUCAAGUGUUGAUGAUCAAUAAAACCACUAGUUUCAAGAAAGGCAAGGGUAAGAAGAACUUCAAGAAGGACGGCAAGGGAGUUGCCGCGCCCGGUAAGCCAGUUGCCGGGAAGAAGCCAAAGAAUGGACCCAAACCUGAGACUGAGUGCUUUUAUUGCAAGGGAAAGGGACACUGGAAGCGGAACUGCCCCAAAUACUUAGCGGACAAGAAGGCCGGCAACACUAAAGGUAUAUGUGAUAUACAUGUAAUUGAUGUGUACCUUACCAGUACUCGUAGUAGCUCCUGGGUAUUUGAUACCGGUGCGGUUGCUCAUAUUUGUAACUCAAAGCAGGAGCUGCGGAAUAAGCGGAGACUGGCGAAGGACGAGGUGACGAUGCGCGUCGGGAAUGGUUCCAAGGUCGAUGUGAUCGCCGUCGGCACGCUACCUCUACAUUUACCUACGGGAUUAGUUUUAAACCUCAAUAAUUGUUAUUUAGUUCCAGCUUUGAGCAUGAACCUUGUAUCUGGAUCUCGUUUAAUACGAGAUGGCUACUCAUUUAAAUCCGAGAAUAAUGGUUGUUCUAUUUAUAUGAGAGAUAUGUUUUAUGGUCAUGCCCCGCUGGUUAAUGGUUUAUUCUUGAUGAAUCUCGAACGUGAUGUUACACAUAUUCAUAGUGUGAAUACCAAAAGAUGUAAAGUUGAUAACGAUAGUCCCACAUACUUGUGGCACUGCCGCCUUGGUCACAUUGGUGUCAAACGCAUGAAGAAGCUCCAUGCUGAUGGACUUUUGGAGUCUCUUGAUUACGAAUCAUUUGACACAUGCGAACCAUGCCUCAUGGGAAAAAUGACCAAGACUCCGUUCUCCGGAACAAUGGAGCGAGCAACCAACUUAUUGGAAAUCAUACAUACUGAUGUGUGCGGUCCAAUGAGCGUUGAGGCUCGCGGAGGCUAUCGUUAUGUUCUCACUCUCACUGACGACUUGAGUAGAUAUGCGUAUGUCUACUUGAUGAAACACAAGUCUGAGACCUUUGAAAAGUUCAAGGAAUUUCAGAAUGAGGUAGAGAAUCAACGUGAUCGAAAGAUAAAAUUCUUACGAUCAGAUCGUGGGGGAGAAUAUUUAAGUCACGAAUUUGGUACGCACUUAAGGAAAUGUGGAAUCAUUUCACAACUCACGCCGCCUGGAACACCUCAGCGUAACGGUGUGUCCGAACGUCGUAAUCGCACUCUAUUGGAUAUGGUGCGAUCUAUGAUGUCACUCACCGAUUUACCGCUAUCAUUUUGGGGAUACGCUCUAGAGACAGCUACAUUCACUUUAAAUAGGGCAUCGUCUAAAUCCAUUGAGACGACGCCGUAUGAAUUAUGGUUUGGGAAGAAACCUAAGCUGUCGUUUCUAAAAGUUUAGGGAUGCGAUGCUUAUGUCAAGAAACUUCAACCUGAAAAGCUCGAACCCAAGUCGGAAAAAUGCGUCUUCAUAGGAUACCCUAAGGAAACCAUUGGGUAUACCUUCUACCUCAGAUCCGAAGGCAAGAUCUUUGUUGCCAAGAACGGGUCCUUUCUAGAGAAAGAGUUUCUCUCGAAAGAAGUAAGUGGGAGGAAAGUAGAACUUGAUGAAGUACUAUCUCUUGAACCGGAAAGUAGCGCAGCUCAGGAAGAUGUUCCUGUGGUGCCUGCACCGACUAGAGAGGAAACUAAUGAUGAUGAUCAAGGUACUUCAGAUCAAGUUACUACUGAACUUCGUAGGUCCACGAGGACACGUUCCACACCAGAGUGGUAUGGCAACCCUGUCCUGGAAAUCAUGUUAUUAGACAACGGUGAACCUUCGAACUAUGAAGAAGCGAUGGCGGGCCCAGAUUCCAACAAAUGGCUUGAAGCCAUGCAAUCCGAGAUAGGAUCCAUGUAUAAAAACAAAGUAUGGACUUUGACAGACUUGCCCGAUGAUCGGCGAGCGAUAGAAAACAAAUGGAUCUUUAAGAAGAAGACGGACGCGGAUGGUAACAUUACCAUCUAUAAAGCUCGACUUGUCGCUAAGGGUUAUCGACAAGUUCAAGGGGUUGACUACGAUGAGACUUUCUCUCCCGUAGCGAAGCUGAAGUCCGUCCGAAUCAUGUUAGCAAUUGCCGCAUACUAUGAUUAUGAGAUAUGGCAAAUGGACGUCAAAACGGCAUUCCUUAACGGCCAUCUUAAGGAAGAACUGUAUAUGAUGCAGCCAGAGGGUUUUGUCGAUCCUAAGAAUGCUAACAAGGUAUGCAAGCUCUAGCGCUCCAUCUAUGGGUUGGUGCAAGCAUCUCGGAGUUGGAACAUUCGCUUUAAUGAAAUGAUCAAAGCGUUUGGGUUUAUGCAGACUUAUGGAGAAGCCUGCGUUUACAAGAAAGUGAGUGGGAGCUCUGUAGCAUUUCUCAUAUUAUAUGUGGAUGGCAUACUUUUGAUGGGAAAUGAUAUAGAACUUUUGGACAGCAUUAAGGCCUACUUGAAUAAGUGUUUUUCAAUGAAGGACCUUGGAGAAGCAGCUUACAUAUUAGGCAUCAAGAUCUAUAGAGAUAGAUCGAGACGCCUCAUAGGUCUUUCACAAAGCACAUACCUUGAUAAGAUAUUGAAGAAGUUCAAUAUGGAUCAGUCCAAGAAGGGGUUCUUGCCUAUGUUACAAGGUGUGAAAUUGAGCUCGGCUCAAUGUCCGACCACGGCAGAAGAUAGAGAAAAGAUGAGUGUCGUCCCCUAUGCCUCGGCCAUAGGGUCUAUCAUGUAUGCCAUGUUGUGUACCAGACCUGAUGUAAACCUUGCCGUAAGUUUGGUAGGAAGGUACCAAAGUAAUCCUGGCAUGGAACACUGGACAGCGGUCAAGAAUAUCCUGAAGUACCUGAAAAGGACUAAGGAUAUGUUUCUCGUUUAUGGAGGUGACGAAGAGCUCGUCGUAAAGGGUUACGUCGACGCUAGCUUCGACACAGAUCUGGAUGACUCUAAGUCACAAACCGGAUACGUGUAUAUUUUGAAUGGAGGGGCAGUAAGCUGGUGUAGUUGCAAGCAAAGCGUCGUGGCGGGAUCUACAUGUGAAGCGGAGUACAUGGCAGCCUCAGAGGCAGCGCAUGAAGCAAUCUGGAUGAAGGAGUUCAUCACCGACCUAGGAGUCAUACCCAAUGCGUCGGGGCCGAUCACACUCUUCUGUGACAACACUGGAGCUAUUGCCCUUGCCAAGGAGCCCAGGUUUCACAAGAAGACCAGGCACAUCAAGCGUCGCUUCAACUCCAUUCGUGAAAAUGUUCAAGAUGGAGACAUAGAUAUUUGCAAAGUGCAUACGGAUCUGAAUGUCGCAGAUCCAUUGACUAUACCUCUUCCGCGAGCAAAACAUGAUCAACAUCAGAACUCUAUGGGUGUUCGAUUCAUCACAAUGUAACUAGAUUAUUGACUCUAGUGCAAGUGGGAGACUGUUGGAAAUAUGCCCUAGAGGCAAUAAUAAAAUGAUUAUUAUUAUAUUUCUUUGUUCAUGAUAAUUGUCUAUUAUUCAUGCUAUAAUUGUGUUAUCCGGAAAUCGUAAUACAUGUGUGAAUACAUAGACCACAACAUGUCCCUAGUGAGCCUCUAGUUAACUAGCUCGUUGAUCAACAGAUAGUCAUGGUUUCCUGACUAUGGACAUUGGAUGUUAUUGAUAACGGGAUCACAUCAUUAGGAGAAUGAUGUGAUGGACAAGACCCAAUCCUAAGCAUAGCACAAGAUCGUGUAGUUCGUUUUGCUAGAGCUUUUCCAAUGUCAAGUAUCAUUUCCUUAGACCAUGAGAUCGUGUAACUCCCGGAUGCCGUAGGAGUGCUUUGGGUGUACCAAACGUCACAACGUAACUGGGUGACUAUAAAGGUAUACUACAGGUAUCCCCGAAAGUGUCUGUUGGGUUGACACGGAUCGAGACUGGGAUUUGUCACUCCGUAUGACGGAGAGGUAUCUCUGGGCCCACUCGGUAAUGCAUCAUCAUAAUGAGCUCAAAGUGACCAAGUGGUUGGUCACGGGAUCAUGCAUUACGGUACGAGUAAAGUGACUUGCUGGUAACGAGAUUGAACGAGGUAUUGGGAUACCGACGAUCGAAUCUCGGGCAAGUAACGUACUGAUUGACAAAGGGAAUUGUAUACGGGAUUACUUGAAUCCUCGACAUCGUGGUUCAUUCGAUGAGAUCGUGGAACAUGUGGGAGCCAACAUGGGUAUCCAGAUCCCGCUGUUGGUUAUUGGCCAGAGAGUCGUCUCGGUCAUGUCUGCAUGUCUCCCGAACCCGUAGGGUCUACACACUUAAGGUUCGGUGACGCUAGGGUUGUAGAGAUACUAGUAUGCGGUAACCCGAAAGUUGUUCGGAGUCACGGAUGAGAUCCCGGACGUCACGAGGAGUUCCGAAAUGGUCCGGAGGUGAAGAAUUAUAUAUAGGAAGUCCAGUUUCGGCCAUCGGGAAAGUUUCGGGGGUCACCGGUAUUGUACCGGGACCACCGGAAGGGUCCCGGGGGUCCACCGGGUGGGGCCACCUAUCCCGGAGGGCCCCAUGGGCUGAAGUGGGGAAGGGAACCAGCCCCUGGUGGGCUAGUGCGCCCCCCUUGGGCCUCCCCUGCGCCUAGGGUUGGAAACCCUAGGGGUGGGGGGGCGCCCCACUUGACUUGGGGGGCAAGUCCCCCCUUGGCCGCCCCCCCCCCUUGAGAUGGGAUCUCUAGGGGCCGGCGCCCCCCAGGGCCCCUAUAUAAAGAGGGGGAGAGGGAGGGCUGCGCACCCCUGCUCCUGGCGCCUCCCUCUCCCCUCCGCAACACCUCUCCCUCUCGUAGAGCUUGGCGAAGCCCUGCCGAGAUCGCCGCUACUUCCACCACCACGCCGUCGUGCUGCUGGAUCUCCAUCAACCUCUCCCUCCCCCUUGCUGGAUCAAGAAGGAGGAGACGUCUUCCCCAACCGUACGUGUGUUGAACGCGGAGGUGCCGUCCGUUCGGCGCUAGGAUCUCCGGUGAUUUGGAUCACGACGAGUACGACUCCCUCAACCCCGUUCUCUUGAACGCUCCGCGCGUGAUCUACAAGGGUAUGUAGAUGCACUCCUCUCUCUCGUUGCUAGAUGACUCCAUAGAUUGAUCUUGGUGAAGCGUAGAAAUUUUUUUAUUUUCUGCAACGUUCCCCAACAAAAAUCGUGGGCAAGCUUACGGGACGAAACUCCGCCGCCACGAGGUGGAACCAAUCUAGGGCUCUGGCGGAGCUGUUCUGCCGGGGACACUUCCCUCUGGGAGGGGGAAAUCAUCACCAACGUCAUCACCAACGAUCCUCUCAUCGAGAGGGGGCCAAUCUCCAUCAACUUCUUCACCAGCACCAUCUCCUCUCAAAACCCUAGUUCAUCUCUUAUAUCCAAUCUUGUAUCAAAACCACAAAUUAGUACCUGUGGGUUGCUAGUAGUGUUGAUUACUCCUUGUAGUUGAUGCUAAUUGGUUUACUUGGUGAAAGAUCAUAUGUCCAGAUCCUUUAUGCAUAUUAUUACUCCUCUGAUUAUGAACAUGAAUAUGCUUUGUGAGUAGUUACGUUUGUUCCUAAGGACAUGGGUGAAGUCUUGCUAUUAGUAGUCAUGUGAAUUUGGUAUUCGUUCGAUAUUUUGAUGAGAUGUAUGUUGUAUUUUCCUCUAGUGGUUAUAUGUGAACGUCGACUACAUGACACUUCACCAUUAUUUGGGCCUAGAGGAAGGCAUGGGGAAGUAAUAAGUAGAUGAUGGGUUGCUAGAGUGACAGAAGCUUAAACCCUGGUUUAUGCGUUGCUUCGUUAGGGGCUGAUAUGGAUCCAUAUGUUUAAUGUUGUGGUUAUGUUUACCUUAAUACUUCUUUUAUAGUUGCGGAUGCUUGCAAUAGGGGUUAAUCAUAAGUGGGAUGCUUGUCCAAGUUAGGGUAGUACCCAAGUACCGGUCCACCCACAUAUCAAAUUAUCAAAGUACUGAACGCGAAUCAUAUGAACGUGAUGAAAACUAGCUUGACGAUAAUUCCCAAUGUGUCCUCGGGAGCUCCUUUCUCAUUAUUAGAAAUUGUCCAGGCUUAUCCUUUGCUACAUAAAGGAUUGGGCCACCUUGCUGCACUUUAUUUACUUUAUUUACUUGUUACUCGUUACCAUUUAUCUUAUCACAAAACUAUCUAUCACCUACUAUUUCAGUGCUUGCAGAGAAAACCUUACUGAAAACCGCUUAUCAUUUCCUUCUGCUCCUCGUUGGGUUCGACACUCUUACUUAUUGAAAGGACUACGAUUGAUCCCCUACACUUGUGGGUCAUCACUGCUCUUGCCCUUCCCGACGCCCUUGUCGUCCUUCUCGCGGAAGUACCAGUCGAAGACGCGGUAGGGAGCGAGUCGGAUCUGCUCGUCGCCGGAGCUAUCCUCGAUGUCGCUGUCCUCGCCGUCGCUGCCUCCUUCAGCGGCAGUCCGGCCAUGGCAUGGACCGGCCGAUUCUGCUCUCGGGCCAGGGUGCGCGUGUUCUUCCGCUGCCAUUUCUUCACAAUGCAGGCGCGGAUGGCUUCCUCCUCUGCGGCCACCCGCGCCGCCGCAUCAGCCGCCUCCGCCGCCACCAUUUCCGCCGCGAUACGGGCCUCGGCGGCCCUUAUCCUCUCCUUCCCACGGCGGGCCGCUCGUUCCCGGUGGGACUCAUAGUCUGCCUGAUCCGGUGAUGAGGAAGGAGAGAUUUUCCGGUUGCCGGGACCACGAUGAUCCAGCCCCAAAGGACCCGAGCGCCCAUUGAGUUGACGCUAUGGUGUCGCGCCGGACAGAUCCGUCCGUCGGCUGGGUGCUGUCCACCCGGGAGCGGCGGAGUGCAAUGUGAACCACCAUUGCCUCCUCCAACUCGCACGGGAUGACACCUCAAUCGGCGGGUUCGGGUUAGUCGGAGUCAGAUCCGUUGCCCGCCAUGCUGGAGACGGUCGGAAAUCACCGGAGGUGAGCUCGGGUGGCUGAGGGAGUGGAGUGAAGAGGAGAGUGGAGUGGCUAUGGUUUCGUCCGACACUGAUGGGGACGAAUAUAUGUGGGUCGGGUGGACCAGUUUGGGUCGGGACCGACAUGACGGGCGCACUCGGGCGUCCCAUAUACGCCCCAUUUUUGGGCUGGAUAUGAGGGGUGCCGGUCAGCUGUUUGAGGCCCGUUUGAGGUGUCCGGCUGGAUCGAAAUUUCGUGACCUGUUAGUAACGGGCGGCUCAACCGGGCGUUUGAGGAGGGUUUGGGGUGUCUGGUUCUAGAUGAUCUAACAAAACAAAUCUAAGACGUUUUGACAGUUUAUAUUGAGCUGCCAAACUUCUUACGUGUGUGUUUCCACGAUUGGAAUGAGGCCCGGAGUCUAAAUGCUUGUUUGGCCUGAUGCUAGAUCCACAUUUCAAUUGGUUUUCACGAUGACCGUGACGCUUAUGCAGACAAAAUGUCACCUUCCAACUUUUAUCGUUUGACUUGCUCUUGUACAACAUAUAUUUUGGUUCUACCUUCAUUUUCAAAGAAUCCGUGGAAUGGAAACUUUGUUUCAACAGCCCUCCAUGAACCGAUCGCCUUUUGUUGUGUGCGCGUGUGCUCUUGUAGUAGCUGCGAUGGAUCUGUGACUCGGAGAGUUGAAUCGGUCAUGGAAAAUGAACCAAAGCCCUACGCGAAUUGGACCGGCGUGCUCUUGGCCGCGGACGUGGAUGCGCAAUGCGUCACGCGGUCUGUCCGCCAGAGCGCGCUCCGAGCGCAGCAGUUGGCGCCUCCGGUGCGUGUGUGCCAAGACGCAGCCAUCCGCCACAUCGUUUCUGAUUCCCAAUAAGCAAAGCGAACGCAACGCACAAGGCAGAAGGCAGAAGGCAGAAGGAAAGAAAAAAACAUUGGAAACCGCAAAAUAAACAGAGGCUUUGGUGUAUUGGACGACGGCUCUGCUGUGCUGUCUGUGCUCGUGCCCGUCCAGCUUUUUCGCCGUGGCACGGUUCAGAAUUUAGGAGGUUUGAUCGAGCGACGGGAUCCCGACUUUAUUCGGGAAUAUUUUAGCAGCAGAAAAGAUUGGGAGGACUACUACUAGUACUGCCGGCAUUGGCGUCCAUGUCGAGAUCCGUGAGGAAGGGAGGGGAGGGGAGAGAGCAAUGGAGGAGUCCUAGGCCUGUCGUUUCCCUAGGGCUCUGUGCAAGAUCAGGUGACGGAAUGUCCCUGGGAUCAAUAAUUUUGUCCCUUGCCGGGUCUGGGUCUCCACUCUUGGAUCAUCCGAUACAACUCCUUUUUUUUUUUUGAAGCAUAUCCGAUACAACUCCUACUACUACUGGUCUCCAACGAUAGAGGAGGAGUUUCUUUCCUUUUUCUCCCGCAAAAAAAAAGAAUCUCUAGGAAAUAAAAAAUAUGAGCAAAGGAAAGUUGUAAGUAGAGAUUUCCAACUGGCAAAGAAAUUCACCCUUUACCAUAGUUUAAGAUUCAAAAUUUCAAAAAGUUGUAGUAAGGCAGAAGUAGGAAAGGAAUUACCGGUCGGGUUUGGAUCACAGCUAGCGAAUGGGCCCAGCUUCCCCCGAACCAUAUUAUAGGACUAGAAAAUCUCGCCCUCCUCUCCACCCACCUCCCUCUCUCUCUCCUCGCAAGUUGCGAUUCCCAAAUCCCAAUGCCACCUCGCAAUUAACACCUCCUGCGGCGGCACACAGCCUGCCUCCACCCCCGCGCGCCCUGCCAUCGCCCCCCCGGCCGGCGCCCAUGACGUCAUCAUCGUCGCACCACCACGACGCCUCCUCGGCCACCUCCACCCCCCGCGCCGGGGCCGGCAGCACCACCAGCAGCAACGGCAACGGCAACGGCGGCGGCGGCAGCCACCACCACCCGCCUCCUCCGCGUGCGCAGCCGCACGGGGCAGCGUGCGUGCGCCUCAUGUGCAGCUUCGGCGGCCGCAUCCUGCCGCGCCCGGGCGACCACCAGCUCCGCUACGUCGGCGGCGAGACCCGCAUCGUCUCCGUCCCGCGCACCACCUCCCACGCCGUCCUCUUCGCCGCGCUCGCCAAGCUCGCCCCCGCGCUCUUCGUCCCCGGCGAGCCCACCCCGGCGCUCAGGUACCAGCUCCCGCACGACGACCUCGACGCGCUCAUCUCCGUCUCCUCCGACGACGACGUCGACAACCUCAUGGAGGAGCUCGACCGCGUCCACAGCCUCGCCGCCACCGCCAUCAAGCCGCCCCGCCUGCGCCUCUUCCUCUUCGCCGCCUCGCCGGACCACCCCUCCGCGGGCGCGUUCGGCUCCGUGCUCUCCGGCGUCGGCGACGCCUCCUCCGACCAGUGGUUCGUCGACCAGCUCAACGCCCCGCCGCCCGGUUCCAUCGAGCGCGGCCGAUCCGAGGCCUCCUCGAUCGUCUCGGAGGUCCCGGACUACCUCUUCGGCUUCGACACGACCUCCGAGGAGCCCAGCCCCGGCGCGGGUGCGCAGCCCAAGUCUGACGCGGAGGUGGCGCAAGGCGACGAUGACGACGACGCGCCGGCUCCCGUGCUGGGCGCUCCUCUGGUGCCAUACGUCCCGGAGAGCGCCCCGUGGCCGGCCCCGCCUCCACCGUACAUGGCGCAGCCGGUGUACUACGUGCCUGUGCGCCCGGUCCACUACCUCAACGCGGCUGCGCACGGCGGCUACAUGCCCGGGCCGGUUUACCACAUUGUCGGUGGAGGGAGAAACGAAGGCCCGGGAGAUCUCUACUCGUCUGGGGGCGUCGGUGGCGUCUACGGCGUCCCCCGCUCCAUGCCGCCAUUCCGUCAGGUGAUGUACGCGCCGCCACCCGCCACGGAAGCCUACUCGGUGGAGGGGAAGCCGCCGGAAGGUGAGUCUCACUCCCCGUAGGCGCAAGGGGAGGAAGAGCCAUGGCCGCAUGGGCUGUUCCUGGAGCUGGUUGAUUCUGAUGAUCGCUUAUAUCUGAGCUAAGAUUUUUGCAUUGCCGUGGUAAAUGUUCACUGUUUCUGCUGGGGUUACUCUUGGUAGCUGUAUAGAUGAGGGAGGUGGAGGAUGGAUGGGUCAUGGAUAUCACAAUUUUCGUCGAGUGAAAUAGAUUCUUGAAUUGUUAUUAUGUGAGUACAUUUGGUGUGAUUAGUACUAGCAAGUUUACUGUAAUGUGGGAUUGGAUUCUCUUCAUAUAUAUUCUACUAGAAGAUUUUUUAUCUGCGAAACACAAUGUUUCUGCAUUUUGUAUUCAUAUGCUUGAUGCUGGAUGUAUCAUGGUCCAUGAAUGUCCUAUAUAUCUACUCGAGCUUUGAUGCGAAUGUUUGCGCAUUUGUUCUCGUGAAAGCUUAAUUUACUGAAUUCGCUCUAGCUUUGUUCUUGUAUGCCAGAAAUUUUGAUUGCUUGCUUUUGGUAACCCACAUUGCUUCAUUUCUUCAUUUUUACGCUUGAUGUUUAUCCUGAACUGCUCCUUUCCUGGCAUUAACAUGUCUGGAUUUUUUCGGAUGAAUUUUAACAUAUCCGGAUGGUUCUCUACUUAUUAGAAUGGCAUGUUGGCUUCGAUCUUCGAGCAGAACUAGGGAGAAAGAAUUAAAGUUCCAUUGUUGACUUGAUUCAAGAGGAAAGUGUCUGUUUCUGAACAGAGAAGCUAUGCCAAAUAUACUUGAGAGAAUAGCCUCUAGAGACAGUGGCUUGUAUCAAUUUCAGAACAGAUCGACUCUGCAUUGCCCUUUUGAACAAUGCUGCAGAUAUGCCAUCCUAUCUCUGUAACUAUUCAGAUUGCUAUUUAGGUUGUCUAGAUUCAGGAGAUGUGUGUUUAAGGUUUGAUCAGCUAUAGAAAGAGUCGUCUACAUCGUAGUACCAGAUUCCGAGUCCUCAAAAUGUGAUGCUAUAUGCAAUGAAAAGGUUUCUCUUCUUCCAUAGACUGUAUACAUAUAACUGGAUACAAGAAACAGGUGCAUUUAUAGCAGGAGUAGUCUUAUGUAGCAGCGUUCUUAGGACUGGCAGGAGGCUUAACAUAUCACAGGAGUGAGCAUUGCUGCCGGAGCUUGCGUCGCUUAUUUCCACCACGGGUUGUCGCCGGUCCUGAAGUCGGUCUCCACCCACGGCACGAAGACGACCUUGCCGUCGUCGACGUCGGCGUGAACCAGGGCCAGCGACUGUUUCACAAGAGCAAUGCAGAUCAGGUCAGCUUGGUUCGGUUCAGUAAGCAAACAAUGGAUUCUUCAGAAAGGUUCGGUUGAGAUAGGACUAGGAGGGCAUCUUACCAGAGGUGCAGGCCCACGGACAACCUUGCCCUGGUUGUUGUACUGGGAUCCAUGGCAGGGGCAGAGGAACUUGUUCUCGGCGGCGUUCCACGGCACGACGCAUCCAAGAUGCGUGCACACGGCGUUGAUCCCGUAGGUGGCAAGGGUCUUGUCGGACUCCACCACAAGGUAGGUAGGAUCACCCUGCAACAUCCACACCAUCUCAGCAACUUACUCUGGGCCUGGGCUGAUCCAUCAGCUUCAUCUCUGCUUGCAUAUAGCUUGUGAAGGCCUCAGAACGACCAUGCAUGGCCGUGUGAAUCUGAAGAUACGUACCUUGAGCCCCUGGGCCAGCGUGCGGUCGUUGGGGCCGUGCGUCUUGAGCCAGUCCUCGACGAGGAUGUCGUUGCCGAGCUUGUCCUUGGCGGCGACCCCUCCGGCGUUGCUCCCGGAGCCGGCGGGGACGAGGAAGGAGCCGUAGGGGACGAGCAUGCCGAAGGUGGGGAGCGAGAUGGCGCCCAGCAGGAGCAGGUUCAUCAGCUCCCUCUUGCUCAUGUCCGGCACGCGGUCCGCGGAGAUGCUGCCGGCCAUGCAGGUGAUGUUCCUCGGGAUGCGCUCCCGGCCGAAGCCCAGGCCCUUGACGGGCUUGCACAGCGAGCUUGCACGGGUCCGGCAGAGCUGCGCGCCAACAUGUUCUCAGCAAGCAUAACGAACCCGGCUCUCUCGCACACCGAAAUUACAGCGGCGGGAAGAAGAGAGGGAUGGUUACCUGGGUAGGGUUGGAGGCGGUGGAGAGCGCGGUAGAGGCCAUGGUGGCUGGCUGCUGCAGGGCGGGGAGGACGAUCGAGCGAGCGAGCGAGCACUGCCUGUGUCCACCACAGGCUUGCAGAUGAGGCGCGGGUUAUAUGUCCCUGCGGGAAGUGGAGAAGGGGCGGCCGAUGAUUGGUUGAUGCGCAGCGAACCGGCUCCGAGAACCACAUAUUGCGUGCCUUGUGGGUGGCUAGGCUGCCACACGCCCCCGAGCAGACUUCACGGGGCCUUAUCGGCACAGGGCAAUGCCGAUUUUACGAAACCAGAAGAUGUAGUGGUGCUCGUCUCGAGUGCGCCGUUGCUAUUUGCUAAGCUGGUUUGGACCAGGCUUGGUGACAGUGCAUAUGCCUUGCCUUCGUGACAGUACCUCGCAUGCAUGGUGACAUGCCUAAAAUCUGACGUUCACUACAAAUAAGCAUUGGUGAUUAAGAAAAAGACCGGUUCCUUUUCACAGGCACAUUGCAUUGUAUGUGCCGUUUACUACAAAGGUGAGUCGGUUCAGUUACGCUCCCUGAGAUGCAUAGCAUGCUGCCGCACGAGAUUUUGCUAGUAGUCACUCUUUAGUGAUCUAUAAACGCUCUUAUAUUUCUUCACAGGGGGAGUGGUAUUUUCACAGGGGGAGUGGUAUAGAUAGAAGACUUCAUAACAGUAGUGGAUACUUUCAACAAUACUGAGAAAGGCUCCCACUGGGACACAAUAAAUAACCAAAUAAUCGUCCCAGAUGCCCAGUUUUCAGUUUCGAUACAAUCAACGAUGCAUUGGUCUCAUCUAACUAUAUACGCCUGGCAUUCAUCUUCGUGGUGUCUUGGGAAACAAUAUAAAUCAUCCACAAGGGAAAGGGACCCAUGAUUCUGCUACUGUUGGUCGAGGAAUGAUUCCCGGAGGGCUGUUUACAUGCUUGGGUCCACCAGAUGUUGUAAACUCUACUGAUUCUUCAACAAGCAGUUGUCUUAACAAUAUUGGAGACCAGGUUGAAAUAGUGGUCUUAAUGCACUGGUGCCCUAACAAACGCAACAAGCAACAAGAUGCUUCGGUUUACUAUGGAAAUACAAGGGCGACAAGCAGUCCAGUUCUUCCUACAAAGAAACAGCAUACAGUGAGAACAAUAAUUACAGUUUAGCUAUAUACAGCAUAUACAAGUAUAUGUAUCUGCAGCGACACUACAUGCGCAUCUUGCAGCCUACCUUAGAAAUACCUCAAUGGCCUGAUGAACUCAGCAGAUCUUUCAGCUCAUCCGCAAUUGCACGGUAGCAGAACAUGUAUUGUUGCUGAAAAGCAAAUAUAUGCCAAUACAACAUCUAAAUACACAUAAAAAGCACUAAACUGUUCAUGCAAUAAACAUAAAUACCAUUAGCACGUUCAGCAGUAUUAGAUGCAAUGGUCAACCGGAACUGUGUAUUGGAACUACUACCCGCAACUUAUUCUGUACACAUGUUACCAGGCUGUUCAGGGUAUGCAUGCCCAGUAAUAAGAUACUAAACCAGCUUCGUUCAGUUAAAGAGUUACACCAAGAAAGUACACUUUGAACAAAACUAACACUAAACUCCCUGCUAUGGCAGGUGUCGCAUGAUCAAAUUCAAGGAUGAGGGAACGACAAAAGAAAAACUAAUUUACCCUGUACUGUACCUUAACUAACAACUCUAUGCGCAAGAUGCCGAUGAAGGCAAGUUAGGAUUGCACAGCAGGCAUUGUUUUGCCUUGAAAUUGUAGAUAAUCACUUGCAUUGUAACAAACGAAAAAGAUUGCUGCUAUUUCAUUAACUAUUUCGUAACAUGAGAGAACAUCUGUUAGCAAGGCCGUCUGAUGUGCUUAAAUUAUGCUGGUACUGGGGUAUAUUCUUUUUAGAUGAAAAAGAUGAUAGGAGUAAGAAUGAAACAGAAUGCACCUCAGUUUGAACCAUUCCAGUUCGCUGGGACCUAAAUUUUUUUACAGUUUCAACAAGAUCAUAAGAGCUUGUGUCUCCAAGGAGAAUUCUCUCAAUUGAACUAUGGAUGGUGAUGUAAGCACCAGUUCUCCCAAUUCCUGCACUGAAGAAAGAGACCAAAAUAAUGUUAAAAGAAUAAAAAAAUGAGCAAAGGGUAGCAUAGAAUUAAGCUGAAGCAAACCUGCAAUGUGCAACUAUAGGAUGUUCUCUCGGAAUGUGAUGUAACCGUUUUUGAAUUUGUCGCACAGCAUCAGUGCUUGUUGGUACGCCAUGGUCGGGCCAAUCAGGAUACUCUAUAUGGAGUACAGAAUGAACCUUGCCUGACUACAUCAUGAAAAACAACGAUCAGAAGAUCUUUAACCAUAAAAUGUUUCUAGAAAUACUGGUAAGUGCUAACAAAUAAGCAACUUUUAAGAUCUUAAAUCUGAACAUGGCAGAAAUGAAGACCACUACAGCGCCAUCCUAUAAAAAACUUAACAGAAGCUUGAGCGUAUAUCUCCAAGUCAAAUAACGAAAUCAGUUAAAUGGAGCAGCAUGGCAUAAUGAUCUAGAAUGUCACCACAUGCUUUUUCUAUAACUACAUUCAAACAAUAAAACAAAGUUAAAAAAACAGUAAAAGUUGAUGUACAGACUAUACAGGAAAUUAUGAAGUGGCACGUCAUGAUGACAUGAUCACUGAUUCACUAUGCCAAAAUAGAAUAAUAAAUAUGAACUGAACAUGCUUAUGUGCUAUAUAUUGUUAAAGAACAACUCAUCAAAACAACCUUAGGCCUUGUUUGGUUACAGUCUAAACCACGUCGAAUGCCAGGGAUCACACUAAUCCACGUGGGCCGUCCUGGAGGGGAACUGUUACACGCGGAUUAUACUUACAUUGUUUGGUUAAUUCCACAGGGGCCAGAAGAAUCGCGUCCACCUCGUGGAACGAAUCCACGGAGGCGCAAAAAAAAAAAACUGGGAGGGACAAUUUGUAGUCUGUAGUGGAUUGAAUCUGGGUCAACCAAAUGGGGUAGUAGGGAUGGGGAUUGUGUUAGACAGGGAUUGAGGGGAUUGGGUGACAAGUGAUGAUUCCACUAGGGGAUUAUAUCCCUAGUAACCAAACAAAGCCUUAAGGCUUUGUUCGGUUGAGGUGGAUUUUACGGGGGCUGGCAGGGAUUGAGGGGGAUUAAAUCCCCUACAAUACAAAAUCCCCUCCAAUCGCCUUGGGGACAGGAUUAACCGAACAAGGCCUAAAGGGUAAGAAACCCCAAUAAGAACAAACAUAUGGAGGAAUGAUAAAGUUUCAAAACAUGCUAAAUGAGUCUGGAUUAUUUGCCCCUGGUGGCUGCCUAUACCACCCCAUGAAUAACCAUACAAUUUCUGCCUCGAGAUCUGUUCUACAACUAUACUACCAGACCGCAUCAGGUUGUCAGACUCAGAAGUGCUUACCAUUAUUGUUGCUAAUCAACACAAAAGCACAGAACACAGACAGUCAAAUGGUCAGGUUAGUUUAUUGGUGGCUGGUUAGUAGGCAGGAAACAUCGGCUGUGCCACCAUACUGCCAGGUAAGCGUUUAAUGACGCCGCUUGAUCACUGAUCACCUGUAAACAUGCAGCUUUCCCAGAAUGGGUACUGCAUAAACGUGUGUUCUGUUAGUUUUAGAGAAAAUAGGUGCUUGGCUUGGGUUUAUAAAAAAUAAUAGAGUUGAUGCUUUUAUCAAUUCUUCCUGUAUUGCUGGUAUGUCCUCGUGUCAGAUUUGCUCGUGAUGCUUUUAUCAGUUCUUCCUGGGUUGCUGGUAUAGUGGUAUGUCCUUGUGUCAGCUUUGCUUGUAUAAUUUUUAUUGGUCAAGUGCUGGUGAUUUUUUUAUAUUGCUGUUUGAAAAUGUGUAACCAUUCUGACAACAGUAUAUACAGUGUUUUCAUUAAUGACUAAUGUCAGAGACAACUGGGCACUAAAUGAUGCCUUAACAUCUGGUUGAUUAAACUAUGACCACGAGCAAGAAUGCAGCAUGUGUGAAUCUCUAAGUUUGAACCGACAGUGGAUGAGAUGGUGGUAUAGCCCACAGGCAGUGCCCCCCAGGGGAGGGGGGGGGGGGGAUAUAUUAUCCAUACACCUAUAUGUCAUAGAUGAUGUAACAGUUACCACACCAUGGUUUACACUUGAUGAUGCUUAGGAACAUUUAGUAUAUUAGUAUAUAUAUAGUACUUUUACAGACAUAUCCACCAGAGACAUUAAAGAUGCACAUCACAUUGUAGACAUAUAUGUACAUCACUUUCCUACAAUAAUAUAUAUAUAUAAUUUUGCCACAUCAUAUGCCUUGUAUUUACCAUGGUCUGGUAUACAUUCAAAGGCAGUAGUAUAUAAGGAAUACACAAGCAAUAUUGUGAAAAGAAAUCAAUCACAAUUUAUAUAAAAAAUCAUAACACAUAAACGUUAAAUGGUUGCCUUGUUUCAUUCUCAUGAUGAUAGCAUUACUUUUUGUGACAACUGACCUAACUGAGGUCUGUAUCGAUAGAGAUAUAUGCUAGUACAAGCUAAGUUUAAUCAUUUAGAUCCUCACAGUACAACAGGAAGGCGAAUUCAUCAGUAAUAAGAUAUCAUGGCACAUGUCAUCUACGAUGUCUGAUAAAACACAAUAAAGUGAUCAUUGUCUGAAAGAAUAAUAAAAGGCAUAUCAAGUUUCUACGUAAAUUUUGUGCCCCGUCAUAAGAACUAAACCUACAGGAGAAACCUAAAAAGAGGAACUGAAACCUAUGAAUAAGAAAAUUAUACAUCAUCUAAGUUUUAUUGUGAUGCGAAAGAGAAACAAUCCUUCAGAGAAAUAAUGAAACAAAGCAUACAUGGAUGCCCUUAAAUGUUUUAAAUUUUUACCUCAUUGCACUGCACCUCCACAGCACGCAGACAAAAUUGAUGCUUAUCUCUUGUGUCCUUCCUAAUCUUAACAUUAUACUUUCCAUACGUCCCUUGACCAUUUUGCAAUGGAAGAUACUCAUCACACUGCAAUUAUUUCAAAUAUAAUUUCAGAGGAAAUACUGCUGCUUCAAAGUUAAUCUAUAGCACAGAGAAAGCCAAUUGAUAUAGUUGGAAGAACGUCAUCAUUUCCUACUGUUUUCACAAUGCAGUCACUAAGCAAAAGCUACUAUGAUCGAUGCCGCAAAAUAUGACAUCCAUCAGGCAUAAUAAAAAUAUAAAUGAAGAGGACUGCAGGAGCUUCAAAAAUCCCCUAAAGAUGUUUCAGUCAAAAGGGUCUAUUGGCUAUUUACAAGCCAACUGGUUUUCCAUUUUUAGUUGCAACUUGCAAGCAUUAUGCUCACAUUUUUUAGUGCAUUCAUGAAUAUUUGAAUCCUCCCAUAUUUGAACCCUACAUUCUUAAAAAAAAAAUAGUGUUUUAGCAUAGCAUCUAUUGGUUUCUCCUGUAAGAACUGUAAAUUUGCAUUAUGUGUUUCAUCACAUAAUUUUCCAGCUUCCGCAUCUUGUAGGGAUGCUUCAUGCUUAAGUUCUCAUAUGGCACAAUGGCAUAGUUUGCUAAUGAUGUAAUGUUGUUACUUGUAAUGCUUCGGUUUGACUUAUUAUAUUGUCAUGCCUCCCUGGGUCAUAUAAGUAAGCCAGAUUGCACAUGCAAUUAUACCAGCAUGACUGGGUUUCAUUUGCACAUCAGAUCAAUUCAAAGAUGUUAAACAGAUUGUUUAAUGUAAGCAAUCACCUUAACACUGUCGAACUGUGUGAGCAUAACAAUCACAGGACACUGAUUUUCACAAACCAUUUCCCAAAAAUCCUCAAAUGUCCUGACUAGUGGUCCUUGGGUGGAAAUAAAUCUUGCAACACUGUUGUCCUCAGUAGCCUGCAAGUUUUACACCCCAUCGUAAGCUCCUACCAAUUAUCUCAAACAACAAUUAGAAAGCCAAAAGGAACAUGCAUACGAUACAAACUUGACCUUUACAAAGCUUGCAUUGAUGUAAUCAUUGCCUGAAAUUUGACUGGUUGCUGAUGAUUUUAGCCGUACCCUGGUAUCAUCAACUAGAGACAAGGAGUCAAAUCUCAAAUACUGCCAAAUCCAUAAUGCUACUAGGAGGUCUUACUUGGUUUGCACCCCCAAUGAUCACCAUAAAUCCAUGUACAAAUACAGGAGGAAAAUCUCACAUGGUAAGACAUCAAUAUAGCGGUUUUUCUCCCUAUUGGCAGCAUCACGAGCUACAGUGGACAUUUUCAUCAUCUCCGGAUGCAUUGUUCUCAUGCCCUGAAAUGUCGCCAGCAGAUAUGAAAAAUAUAUACUAUGAAUUUUCAUGGUAGCUACAGUAAUUGAAUAUCAUGUAUUGCCUGCAAAAAAAUCAAACCAUGAAUGCAAGAAUACAAGAUGUAAACAUUUGACUAGAUAUCUGCUUGAAAACAAGCCAAACAUCAAUUAGAUAGAAAUGAACUGCCAUGCAAGAAAAAUGUGUAUAUAAAGCCAAGUAACAUGCUACAACUAUAUUGGAGAAAUAGGGCAUUGGUAGAAUAAUAAAAAUUGUCUAAACAGAUCUACUUCCAUGUAGUGAGCCAGUGAUAUGAAGAGAGUAAGAUUAAGUAUAAAAUUUAGAGAUGGGAAUAGAACCCUAGGGAAUUUAACUUCUACAAAUCAAACUCAAUCCUGAUAGGAGUAAGGAUCUACAGCUUCUCAAGUUAAUCCAUCCUUAUCCCACUCAAAAUCUUGUAUCACGGUGAUGUUAACUAAGUAAAUUCUGACAGGAGCAACUGGUACUGAUGCAUCAACAUAAACAUUUUUCUUGCAUGGCCACAAAUGUCACAAAGUGGGAAACCACAUUUCAACAUAUAUGGCAUAAGAUCCACAAUGGUUUACGUAAAAGCAAUCUGGGAUCAGCACUUCAUAUAGGGAAACUAAUACAUAAACCAUGUAAGGAAAGGCACAUCCAGGGCCCAAGAUAUUUUCAGUUGUGCAUCCAUUGCUUUGGUUACAAUUCUAGAAUUUUGUAAGACAUAUACCUCUGUUAAUGGAAAAGGAAUAAUUAUUGGGUUAUUUAACUGCAUAAUUGCACUUACUGGCACGAAAAGGCCAUGUCAAUUUAUGAAAAAGACCAAAAUCCCGGCAUAACAAGGGCGCUCACUACCUACCCAAAGCAGUAACUCAGCCAGUAAGCCACGGCAACACGCUGUAGAUGCUAAAUUGCCGUAUUUACCGACAAAGAGUGGGCAGUAUUUGGCAGACAUUUCAGAAUCAUUACGCAGACGGAUUGGUAACUGGGGAAAAAACACAAUCAAACCUGAAGCCGUUGGAACUCGUCGGACAAGGCAUCCAGCUGCUUGCUCCUCCGCUCGAAAUGCGCGAGCGCAUCCUUGCAUAGCUUGAUCUGCUCGUGCGUCAACGCCAACGGUGGAGGGUCGGCCUCGAUGUCGAAGGGGUCGAACGCGACCCCGGGGACCGGACCCCCGGAGUACUGAGCAUCGGCAUGCGUAUGGCGGGAGCCGGAUCCGGCGAGGCGGGCGACGGCCCUCGCCUUCUCGCGGAGGCCGCCGCCGCCGCGGGAGCUCGUCGCGUUCCCCGUGACUGCGAAGGCGGGCUCACGGCAGCGCUUGGAGAGGGACGCGGUCGCGGGGGCGGAGGGCGGAGGGCUGGUCGGGCUCGUUGCCGUGGUGAGGUUGACGAGGAAGGAAAAUCGUGUGGUCGUUCAGCAGAGUUGUUUAUUUGCACAAAAAUGAAAUUUAUAUUUAUUUCCUCGAAAUUUACACAGUCGAGUUCGAAUGGAGCGGUUAUUCGACUGUUUUAUAUGGAUUUCCUUUUGCGAGGGACACAGGCUAGGCUGAGAUCUCCUUGCAGGCAAUUUUAGUCACUGAAUGCAAACACACUUAGCAUGUAAAUGUGUGGACCGUUAGCUGACCUUAUUAUCUGUUGAUUAAUGAAAUAACUAAAAUUAAUACUCUUUAUAAAAAAAAUCUUCUACGGAUAGCUAGCUUUUUCAAUUAACUAAAAUUAAUACUCUUCAUAAAAAAAUCUUCUACGGAUAGCUAGCUUUUUCAAUUUGGACCUGGUGCCACAAACGGUCAGAGGUUAACAACCUCCCUAUCAAAUGCCGACAUGGAUUGACAGAACUAAGCUACGGUUGUAAGUGCAUCUAGUGCCACCCAUAGUUGGUUUUGGAGUAUUGACGACAAACGUGGUUGAGGGAAUAAUGUGUUUGUGAGAAUUGCAGGAUAACACAGGUAGAAGUCCCUUAUUGAUUCGGUUUACCUACCAGAGAUGACCCCUAAAAAUGUAUGAAGACAUUGAAGACAACGGUGGUUCGUGAAGACAUUCACGUCAAGGACAAUGACGUGUGAAGACAUUCACUUGAAGACUAUGGAGUGCGAACACAUAGUUUCUUUCGUAGUUUUAUUUUCUUCUUCCUUGAGUCAUAGGAACCACCGAACUGUUAAGUGGGGUCCAAGUGAACAAAGUCAGAAAACUGAAGUGAUGCUCAACCCAAAAUCCUAUGUCUUCGAGCGAAGACAAUGAGAGCAAAUCUCAUCUAGAGUCGGAUGAGUCAGCUUUGCUUGUAGCCCAAGUCAAGCUGCCGCGUGUGUUUGAAAUCCGACCGUUGGACACGUGUCGGUUCCUUAGUGACCCAGGGUCAUUUCGGACAUAUCAUGUCGGGCUGUCUGCUGGCUAUAAAUAGCCCACCCCCUCCACCAUAAAUUGGUGGCUGCUCAGAGUAAGUGCACGGCUUUUGUCGUUUGGGAGCAACCCACCUCCGAAGCCUUUGAGAGAGAGAACCCUUGCGAGGACAAAGCCCAAAACACAUAGAGCCAAAGAGUGUUAGGCAUCACUGAAGUCUUUUCUGUCUGCGUGAUCUGAAGACUUAUCACACUUGAGGACUGUGUAUCCUCCAGCCGGUUAUGCGUCACGUUCUGAGGAUCCAAGAGUCAUUGUGGAUCGCCGGUGAACGGAGUCUGUGAAGGUUUGUAAGUCUAACUUGAAGACUUACCAGAGUGAUUGGGAGAGGACUGAGUGUCCUUAGAUCAAGGGGAAUAAGGUGAAGACGUGGUCUUCUGAGUUCAAUCUCAGUCUCCUUAACCAGACGUACAAUAGUCACAGCAAUUGGAACUGGUCUACCAAGUUCUUGUCUUCACCAAACAACUGGUUCUAUCCCCUAUCUCCUUUACAUUUCAGUUUGUCUUCGUGAAGUCAUUGCUUGCAUGCCUGAUCUGUUUGACUUCAUAGUGUGAAGACUUUCUUGUAUUUGUCUUCAUACUGUCCUCCUAUUCCGAUAUGUUCUACCUAGCAGCUAUGUGUCUUCGUGCUUUCAUUGUAAUGUUUACUUGACUAUGGCAUGUCUAGUGUAGAAUAUCUUCCGCUGUAUAUCGUAUAGGUGUUGUUUAGUUGUCUGUCUUCAAAGAUCUUGCAUCUCUCGAAGACUUUCAUAAAAAUCGCCUAUUCACCCCCCCUCUAGUCGAUAACUAGCUCUUUCAACUAUGAACUCAAAUCUUGAACAAAGAUGAACUCCCGAUAGCGGAGACCCCUUCUAUUAAUGGGGGAUUUCUACUUUCGCUAGGAAAAUAGGUUUACAAUAGUUGGGGAUAAAAUGAUUGAUGCCCGACCUCACGCACGCAGGCGCUUAUAUGGCCGGUCACUCGCUAGCUGGAAAGAAGAAAGUGAGCAGCACUUUUAGAGUUAUGCCUUGACUGGCGCUAUCUGAAGAAAAGAACAGCAAACUGUAAAACAGGGCAUCAAUCCAUCAUGACCCUCCAACGCGAGCUCGUCGUUGUUCACCGUUGGAUCGCCUUGACUAGGUCGAAUCGGUACGCCGAUACUGAAGCCGAUAACUGAAUCUCACGGACAGUGCUGCAACUAAUCUUCAGGUAGCUGACAAUGCUCCCCUCUGAGAACAUACUUGUCCUCAAGUAUAAUUGGUAUCAAAGCUAGGUGCUCCCUUGUUCUGCGUGAUUCAGUUUAACCACCUGGAGUUUUAGCUAUGUCGACUGCAGGGAUAAUCAAGGUCUUCACUGCGUGCCCUAUCUUCGAUGGCACCGAUUACCCCUACUGGAAGAAUAAGAUGCACAUGCAUCUUGAAGCCAUUGACAACGACCUCUGGUAUGUUGUCAAGACUGGAGUCCCCAAGGUCGGUGAAGGUGUCACCGCGGCUGAUGUGAAGAGAUUCGCGCAAUUGGACUCAACCGCCAAGAACAUCAUCUGUGGUCAUCUGACCAAAGGGCAGUAUGGCCGUGUGAGUGUACUGGAGUUAGCGAAGCUAGUUUGGGACUGGCUGUCCAAGGUCAACGAAGGCGUCUCAACUCAGAGAGACUCAAGGAUUGAUGUACUUCGCAAUCUCUUCAACCGCUUCAAAAGGCUUGACAAUGAGAACGUCCAACACACAUUUGACCGUCUUACUGAUACCACCAAUGAGCUGCGUGCUCUUGGCGCAACUGAGAUCACCAAGCAUGAAGUUGUGAAGAAGCUACUGAAAUCGCUUGACAUCUCAUUUGACACUCUAGCCUUGAUGAUCCAAGAACGUCCUGACUUCAAGGAUCUUGACCCAUCUGACAUACUUGAGAGGCUCAACACACAUGAGUUCCAGCUAUCCGAGAAGAGAGAUAUCUAUGGCCCCAACUAUGGCCUAUCCUGUGCUUUGAAGGCAAAAGUUCUUUCCUCAUCUGAAGAAGAAUCUGACUGCAGUUCUGAUGAUCCUGAAGACAUUGGCAAAGAACUAGCAAUGCUUGUGAGAAAGUUCCAGAAGUUCUCCAAGAAGAUUCGCUUUGGAAAGUCUACAAGAUUCAGUUCCAAGAAUGAUGAGGCUUUCUCUCAUGACUACAAGAAGAGAACAUGCCACAAAUGCAAGAAGCCAGGCCACUAUAUAUCUGAAUGUCCUCAAUGGGACAAGGAAGCCAAGAAAAAGAAGAAGAGCAAGGAAUAUGAUUCUGACGACAAGAAGAAGAAGAAGAAAUCCUCAAUGUCUUCUUAAAAGUCUUCAUCCUACAAGAAGAGCUCAUCUGGCAAGGCACGUGCAUUCAUUGGCAAGGAGAUGGAUUCAGAGGAGGAGUCUGCUUCUGAGGAGGCGAAGGUGGAGUCUAAGGAGGCGUCUGACUCAGGCGUGGCAAGCUUGGCUCUAGCUUCAGCGUUAGUCGCCAAGUCCAUCUUCAACACUGAAGACAUUGGUCACAUCGCCGACGCUGAAGCCGAUGAUGAGGACGACUCUGCUCCAACCUACUGCUUCAUGGCACGAGGUGCCAAGGUAAACUCACGCGAUGCUUAUUUUCAGACCUCCAAUGAAGAUGACUCUGAAUGUGAAUCCAAGCCCAGCUAUAAGACACUUGCUAAAAUUGCAACUGAACAACAAACAGCCAUGGAAAAGAUUCAAAAAUUGCUAGACAAAAGCGAUGACCUGUUGGACGAGGAAAUGAAUCGAGCUCAUUCCUUAAUCAAGGACAUAAAAAAUCUUCGUGUUAAGUAUGAGGAACUUGAAAGUCACCAUGAAACCCUCUCAGCUACUCAUGAGAAGCUUUCCUAUGAUUAUCUUCAAAGGAAGCAAGAUCUAGAGAAACUGGGAGCGUCUCAUGAAGAUCUUCAAAAGGAAAACGAUUCACUACUCGCUCAACAUAUCAGUUCCGCUCAGGAAGAUUUUGCACCACCUUGCUUAAAAUGCCUUGAGCGUGACAAUGUUGUCUCUAUUGCUGAAUGUUCUACUGCCUCUGAUGUUGCAAUAUCUUCAAUUGCUGAUGUGGUAACUAACCCCUCUUCUGAGGAUGCCACUACUAUUGCUGAUGAGAAUGCCAGGUUGAAGACAUUGCUUGAAACAAGCAUGUACAAAAGCCUCAAAGGGCAUCAGACACUGUGUGAUGUCCUCAAGAAACAGAUUAUGAGCGAAACCCUGGGAAAGAGGGUGUUGGUUUCGAGAGGAAAAUGAAUGCUGAUGGUUCUUACUGGAAGCCUGAGCAGUACCCCAAAACCACAUGGGUUGCUGCAAACGGUCCUUCUUUGGAUCCAUCCACCUUAUCUGGCUUCACUUGUGCUAAUCCUAUUAUCAUCGACGAGUCAUUUGACUCAAACUAUAAACUGUUUAAGAAUCAGAACGGUGACGUGUUUGCCAGGUUUAUUGGUACUAACUGCAGGAAUGGGCCGCCUAUGAAGAAGAUAUGGGUUCAUAAAAGUUGUCUGCUACCUCUUGAGCACCGCGUUGGUUUUCCCUUGAAGAGUAAAGGGUGAUGCAGCAAAGUAGCGUAAGUAUUUCCCUCAGUUUUUGAGAACCAAGGUAUCAAUCCAGUAGGAGGCCACACGCAAGUCCCUCGUACCUACACAAACAAAUAAGAACCUUGCAACCAACGCGAUAAAGGGGUUGUCAAUCCCUUCAUGGCCACUUGCAAAAGUGAGAUCUGAUAAAGAUGAUAAGAUAAUAUUUUUGGUAUUUUUAUGAUAAAGAUUAAAAGUGAAUAAUGCAAAAUAAACGGCGACAGAAAUAACUAGUUGACGGGAGAUUAAUAUGAUGGAAAAUAGACCUGGGGGCCAUAGGUUUCACUAGUGGCUUCUCUCAAGAUAGCAUAAGUAUUACGGUGGGUGAACAAAUUACUGUCGAGCAAUUGAUAGAAAAGUGCAUAAUUAUGAGAAUAUCUAGGCAUGAUCAUGUAUAUAGGCAUCACGUCCGCGACAAGUAGACCGACUCCUGCCUGCAUCGACUACUAUUACUCCACACAUCACCGCUAUCAAGCAUGCAUCUAGAGUAUUAAGUUCAUAAGAACAGAGUAACACAUUAGGUAAGAUGACAUGAUGUAGAGGGAUAAACUCAUGCAAUAUGAUAUAAACCCCAUCUUUUUAUCCUCGAUGGCAACAAUACAAUACGUGUCAUUUCCCCUACUGUCACUGGGAUCGAGCACCGCAUGAUUGAACCCAAAGCUAAGCACUUCUCCCAUUGCAAGAAAGAUCAAUCUAGUAGGCCAAACCAAACUGAUAAUUCGAAGAGACUUGCAAAGAUAAUCAAUCAUACAUAAAAUAAUUCAGAGAAGAUUCAAAUAUUGUUCAUAGAUAAUCUUGAUCAUAAACCCACAAUUCAUCGGAUCUCGACAAACACAUAGCAAAAAGAGUUACAUCAAAUAGAUCUCCAAGAAGAUCGAGGAGAACUUUGUAUUGGGAUCCAAAGAGAGAGAAGAAGCCAUCUAGCUAAUAACUAUGGACCCGAAGGUCUGUGGUAAACUACUCACACAUCAUCAGAGAGGCUAUGGUGUUGAUGUAGAAGCCCUCCGUGAUCGAUGCCCCCUCCGGCAGAGCGCCGGAAAAGGCCCCAAGAUGGGAUCUCACGGGUACAGAAGGUUGCGGCGGUGGAAUUAGGUUUUCGUGGUGCUCCUCAAUGGUUUCGGGGUACGUAGGUAUAUAUAGGAGGAAGAAGUAGGUCGGUGGAGCAACGAGGGGCCCACGAGGGUGGAGGGCGCGCCCAGGGGGGUAGACGCGCCCCCUGCCUCAUGGCCUCCUCGGUGAUUUCUUGACGUCCACUCCAAGUCCUCUGGAUCACGUUUGUUCCAAAAAUAACUCUCCCGAAGGUUUCAUUCCGUUUGGACUCCGUUUGAUAUUCCUUUUCUGCGAAACACUGAAAUAGGCAAAAAAACAGCAAUUUGCACUGGGCCUUGGGUUAAUAGGUUAGUCCCAAAAAUAAUAUAAAAAUGUAUAAAUAAGCCCAUUAAACAUCCAAAAUAGAAUAUAUAAUAGCAUGGAGCAAUAAAAAAUUAUAGAUACGUUGGAGACGUAUCAAGCAUCCCCGCUUAAUUCCUGCUCGUUCUCGAGUAGGUAAAUGAUAAAAACAGAAUUUUUGAUGUGGAAUGCUACUUAGCAUAUCCUUCAAUGUAUUUCUCUUUAUUGUGGCAUGAAUGUUCAGAUCCGAAAGAUUCAGGAUAAAAGUUUAAUAUUAACAUGAAAAUAAUAAUACUUCAAGCAUACUAACAAAGCAAUCAUGUCUUCUCAAAAUAACAUGGCCAAAGAAAGUUAUCUCUACAAAAUCAUAUAGUCUGGCUAUGCUCUAUCUUCACCACACAAAGUAUUUAAAUCAUGCACAACCCCGAUGACAAGCCAAGCAAUUGUUUCAUACUUUUGAUGUUCUCAAACUUUUUCAAUCUUCACGCAAUAUAUGAGCGUGAGCCAUGGACAUAGCACUAUAGGUGGAAUAGAAUGGUGGUUGUGGAGAAGACAAAAAGGAGAAGAUAGUCUCACAUCGACUAGGCGUAUUAAUGGGCUAGGAAGAUGCCCAUCAACAGAUAUCAAUGUGAGUGAGUAGGGAUUGCCAUACAAUGGAUGCACUAGAGCUAUAAGUGUAUGAAAUCUCAACAAAAGAAACUAAGUGGGUGUGCAUCCAACUCGCUUGCUCACGAAGACCUAGGGCAUUUUGAGGAAGCCCAUCAUUGGAAUAUACAAGCCAAGUUCUAUAAUGUAAAAUUCCCACUAGUAUAUGAAAGUGACAACAUAGGAGACUCUCUAUCAUGAAGAUCAUGGUGCUACUUUGAAGCAAAAGUGUGGAAAAAGGAUAGUAACAUUGUCCCUUCUCUCUUUUUCUCUCAUUUUUUUAUUUGGGCCUUCUGUUUUUUUCUUUUGGCCUCUUUUUUUUUCUUCGUCCGGAGUCUCAUCCCGACUUAUGGGGGAAUCAUAGUCUCCAUCAUCCUUUCCUCACAUGGGACUAUGCUCUAAUAAUGAUCAUCACACUUUUAUUUACUUAUAACUCAAGAAUUACAACUCGAUACUUAGAACAAAAUAUGACUCUAUGUGAAUGCCUCCGGUGGUGUACCAGGAUAUGCAAUGAAUCAAGAGUGACAUGUGAAAGAAUUAUGAAGGUGGCUUUGCCACAAAUACGAUGUCAACUACAUGAUCAUGCAAAGCAAUAUGACAAUGAUGAAGCGUGUCAUAAUAAAUGGAACGGUGGUAAGUUGCAUGGCAAUAUAUCUCGGAAUGGCUAUGGAAAUUCCAUAAUAGGUAGGUAUGGUGGCUGUUUUGAGGAAGGUAUAUGGUGGGUAUAUGAUACCAGCGAAAGGUGCACGGUAUUAGAGAGGCUAGCAAUGGUGGAAGGGUGAGAGUGCGUAUAAUCCAUGGACUCAACAUUAGUCAUAAAGAACUCACAUACUUAUUGCAAAAAUCUAUUAGUUAUCGAAACGAAGUACUACACGCAUGCUCCUAGGGGGAUAGAUUGGUAGGAAAAGACCAUCGCUCGUCCCCGACCGCCACUCAUAAGUAAGACAAUCAAUAAAUAAAUCAUGCUCCGACUUCAUCACAUAACGGUUCACCAUACGUGCAUGCUACGGGAAUCACAAACUUUAGAACAAGUGUUUCUCAAAUUCACAACUACUCAACUAGCAUGACUCUAAUAUCACCAUCUUCAUAUUUCAAAACAAUUAUCAAGUAUCAAACUUCUCUUAGUAUUCAAUGCACUUUAUAGUUUUUAUCUUGGAUGCCUAUCAUAUUAGGACUAAUUUUAUAACCAAGGCAAAUUACCAUGCUGUUCUAAAGGACUCUCAAAAUAAUAUAAGUGAAGCAUGAGAGAUCAAUAAUUUCUAUAAAAUAUAACCACCACCGUGCUCUAAAAGAUAUAAGUGAAGCACUAGAGCAAAAUUGUUUACCUCAAAAGAUAUAAGUGAAGCACAUAGAGUAUUCUAAUAAAUUCCGUAUAACGCGUGUCUCUCUCAAAAGGUGUGUACAGCAAGGAUGAUUGUGGUGAACUUAAAAAACAAAGACUCAAAUCAUACAAGACGCUCCAAGCAAAACACAUAUCAUGUGGUGAAUAAAAAUAUAGCUCCAAGUAAAGUUACCGAUGGACGAAGACAAAAGAGGGGAUGUCUUCCGGGGCAUCCCCAAGCUUAGGCUUUUUGGUGUCCUUGGAUUUUACCUUGGGGUGCCUUGGGCAUUCCCAAGCUUAGGCUCUUGCCACUCCUUGUUCCAUAAUCCAUCAAAUCUUUACCCAAAACUUGAAAACUUCACAACACAAAACUUAACAGAAAAUCUCGUGAGCUCCGUUAGCGAAAGAAAACAAAACACCACUUCAAGGUACUGUAAUGAACUCAUUAUUUAUUUAUAUUGGUGUUAAACCUACUGUAUUCCAACUUUUCUAUGGUUCAUAAGCUCCAUUACUAGCCAUAGAUUCAUCAAAAUAAGCAAACAACACACGAAAAACAGAAUCUGUCAAAAACAGAACAGUCUGUAGUAAUCUGUAUCAAACGCAAACUUCUGGAACUCCAAAAAUUCUAAAAUAAAUUGCUGGACGUGAGGAAUUUAUCUAUUAAUCAUCUGCAAAAAGAAUCAACUAAAGCACUCUCCAGUAAAAAGUUGUAGCUAAUCUCGUGAGCGCUAAAGUUUCUGUUUUUUACAGCAAGAUCGCAAAGACUUUCCCCAAGUCUUCCCAAAGGUUCUACUUGGCACAAGCACUAAUUAAAACACAAAACCACAUCUAAACAGAAUCCAGAUGGAUUAUUUAUUCCUAAACAGAACCAAAAAGAAAAAAAAUAAAAUAAAAUUGGGUUGCCUCCCAACAAGCGCUAUCGUUUAACGCCCCUAGCUAGGCAUAAAGGCAAGGAUAGAUCUAGGUUUUAUCAUCUUUGGUAUGCAAUCCAUAAGUAGCUCUCAUAAUAGAUUCAUAAGGUAAUUUUAUCUUCUUUCUAGGAAAGUGUUCCAUGCCUGUCCUUAACAGAAAUUGGAAUCUAAUAUUUUCUUCCUUCAUAUCAAUAAUUGCACCAAUCGUUCUAAGGAAAGGUCUACCAAGAAUAAUGGGACAUGAAGGAUUGCAAUCUAUAUCAAGAACAAUGAAAUCUACGGGCAAAUAAUUCCUAUUUGCAACAAUAAGAACAUCAUUAAUUCUUCCCAUAGGUUUCUUAAUGGUGGAAUCCGCAAGGUGCAAGUUUAAGGAACAAUCAUCAAAUUCACGGAAACCUAGCAAAUCACACAAAGUUUUUGGAAUUGUGGAAACACUAGCACCCAAAUCACACAAAGCAUAGCAUUCAUGAUCCUUAAUUUUAAUAGUAGGUUCCCACUCAUCAUAAGUUUUCUAGGGAUAUAAACUUCCAAUUCAAGCUUUUCUUCAUAAGAUUGCAUUAAAGCAUCAACGAUAUGUUUAGUAAAAGCCUUAUUUUGACUAUAAGCAUGCGAAGAAUUUAGCACAGAUUGCAACAAGGAAAUACAAUCUAUUAAAGAACAAUUAUCAUAAUUAAAUUCCUUGAAAUCCAAGAUAGUGGGUUCAUUGCUAUCUAAAGUUUUGACCUCUUCAAUCCCACUUUUACCAAAUUUUGCAUCAAGAUCUAAAAACUCCGAAUCAUUGGGACACCUUUUAACUAAAGUUGACUCAUCUCCAGUCCCAUCAUUAUCAAGAUUCAUAUUGAAAAUCAAAGAUUUAAUACGGGACACAUCAAUCACUUUUAGAUCUUCAUCCUUAUUAUCAUGAAAACUAGAAGAACACGCUUUCAUAAAGCAAUCUUUUUUAGCACGCAACCUAGCGGUUCUUUCUUUGCACUCAUCAAUGGAAAUACUCAUAGCCUUGAGAGACUCAUUGAUAUCAUGCUUAGGUGGAAUAGAUCUAAGUUUCAAAGAAUCAACAUCAAGAGAAAUUCUAUCCACGUUCCUAGCCAAUUCAUCAAUCUUAGGCAAUUUUUCUUCAAGCAAAGCAUUGAAAUUCUUUUGAGAAAUCAUAAAUUCUGUAACACUAGUCUCAAAAUCAGAGGGCAUCUUAUUAAAAUUUCCAUAAGAGUUGUUGUAGGAAUUACCAUAAUUAUUAGAGGAAUUACUAGGAAACGACCUAGGAUUAAAGUUUCCUCUAUAUGCGUUGUUACCAAAAUUAUUCCUACCAACAAAAUUUACAUCUAUGGAUUCAUUAUUAUUCUCAAUCAAGGUAGACAAAGGCAUAUCAUUGGGAUCAGAAGAAACAUAAAUGAUCCGGGGCUAGUGUUGGGUAGCCGGGCCCACUAGAAUUCAAGUGCUUCUUAUCGAUUCAAUACGCUCUAUUACCUUUGUGCCAAGAGAACGUUAAGCUGCCUGGGCUGUUCCGCUACCGGCGUGUAAAGAAGCUCCACCUAACGGCUAAACCAAUGAAUUUCUCUCCUUAAAGGAACUCUUAUUAGCAAAAAAAUUCAUAAGUUCAUCCAUCUUUCCUCUCAAAACAUUAAUUUCUUCAAUUGCAUGCACCUUUUUACUAGUAGAUCUUUCAGUGUGCCAUUGAGAAUAAUUGACCAUAAUAUUAUCUAGGAGUUUAGCAGCUUCUCCUAAAGUGAUUUCCAUAAAAGUGCCUCCCGCAGCCGAAUCUAAAAGAUUUCUAGAAGCAAAAUUCAAUCUGGCAUAAUUUUUUUGUAUAAUCAUCCAUAAAUUCAAACCAUGUGUAGGGCAAUUUCGUAUCAUUAAUUUCAUUCUCUCCCAAGCUUGUGCAACAUGUUCAUGAUCAAGUUGCUUAAAGUUCAUAAUAUCGUUUCUAAGAGAGAUGAUCUUAGCGGGAGGAAAAUACUUAGAGAUAAAAGCAUCUUUGCACUUAUUCCAAGAAUCAAUACUAUUUUUAGGCAAAGACGAAAACCAAGUUUUAGCACGAUCUCUAAGUGAAAAAGGAAAUAGCUUCAAUUUAACAAUAUCAUUGUCCACAUCUUUCUUCUUUUGCAUAUCACACAAAUCAACGAAGCUAUUCAGAUGGGUAGCGGCAUCUUCACUAGGAAGGCUGGGGAAUUGAUCUUUCAUGACAAGAUUCAGCAAGGCAACAUUAAUUUCACAAGAUUCUGCAUCAGUAAGCGGAGCAAUCGGAGUGCUAAGAAAAUCAUUGUUGUUGGUAUUGGCAAAGUCACACAAUUUAGUAUUAUCUUGAGCCAUCGUGAUAAGCAAACAAUCCAACACACAAGCAAACAAGAAGCAAGCGAAAAAGAGGCGAACGGAAAGAGAGGGCGAAUAAAACGGCAAGGGUGAAGUGGGGGAGAGGAAAACGAGAGGCAAAUGGCAAAUAAUGUAAUGCGAGGGAUAAGAGUUUGUGAUGGGUACUUGGUAUGUCUUGACUUGUGCGUAGACUCCCCGGCAACGGCGUCAGAAAUCCUUCUUGCUACCUCUUGAGCACUGCGCUGGUUUUCCCUUGAAGAGGAAAGCGUAAUGCAGCAAAGUAGCGUAAGUAUUUCCCUCAGUUUUUGAGAACCAAUGUAUCAAUCCAGUAGGAGGCCACACGCAAGUCCCUCGUACCUACACAAACAAAUAAGAACCUUGCAACCAACGCGAUAAAGGGGUUGUCAAUCCCUUCACGGCCACUUGCAAAAGUGAGAUCUGAUAGAGAUGAUAAGAUAAUAUUUUUGGUAUUUUUAUGAUAAAGAUUAAAAGUAAAUAAUGCAAAAUAAACGGCGACAGAAAUAGCUAGUUGAUGGGAGAUUAAUAUGAUGGAAAAUAGACCCGGGGGCCAUAGGUUUCACUAGUGGCUUCUCUCAAGAUAGCAUAAGUAUUACGGUGGGUGAACAAAUUACUGUCGAGCAAUUGCUAGAAAAGUGCAUAAUUAUGAGAAUAUCUAGGCAUGAUCAUGUAUAUAGGCAUCACGUCCGCGACAAGUAUACCGGCUCCUGCCUGCAUCUACUACUAUUACUCCACACAUCGACCGCUAUCCAGCAUGCAUCUAGAGUAUUAAGUUCAUAAGAACAGGGUAACACAUUAGGUAAGAUGACAUGAUGUAGAGGGAUAAACUCAUGCAAUAUGAUAUAAACCCCAUCUUUUUAUCCUCGAUGGCAACAAUACAAUACGUGUCAUUUCCCCUACUGUCACUGGGAUCGAGCACCGCAUGAUUGAACCCAAAGCUAAGCACUUCUCCCAUUGCAAGAAAGAUCAAUCUAGUAGGCCAAACCAAACUAAUAAUUCGAAGAGACUUGCAAAGAUAAUCAAUCAUACAUAAAAUAAUUCAGAGAAGAUUCAAAUAUUGUUCAUAGAUAAUCUUGAUCAUAAACCCACAAUUCAUCGGAUCUCGACAAACACAUAGCAAAAAGAGUUACAUCAAAUAGAUCUCCAAGAAGAUCGAGGAGAACUUUGUAUUGGGAUCCAAAGAGAGAGAAGAAGCCAUCUAGCUAAUAACUAUGGACCUGAAGGUCUGUGGUAAACUACUCACACAUCAUCAGAGAGGCUAUGGUGUUGAUGUAGAAGCCCUCCGUGAUCGAUGCCCCCUCCGGCAGAGCGCCGGAAAAGGCCCCAAGAUGGGAUCUCACGGGUACAGAAGGUUGCGGCGGUGGAAUUAGGUUUUCGUGGUGCUCCUCAAUGGUUUCGGGGUACGUAGGUAUAUAUAGGAGGAAGAAGUAGGUCGGUGGAGCAACGAGGGGCCCACGAGGGUGGAGGGCGCGCCCAGGGGGGUAGGCGUGCCCCCUGCCUCGUGGCCUCCUCGGUGAUUUCUUGACGUCCACUCCAAGUCCUCUGGAUCAUGUUUGUUCCAAAAAUAACUCUCCCGAAGGUUUCAUUCCGUUUGGACUCCGUAUGAUAUUCCAUUUCUGCGAAACACUGAAAUAGGCAAAAAACAGCAAUUUGUACUGGGCCUUGGGUUAAUAGGUUAGUCCCAAAAAUAAUAUAGAAGUGUAUAAAUAAGCCCAUUAAACAUCCAAAACAGAAUAUAUAAUAGCAUGGAGCAAUAAAAAAUUAUAGAUACAUUGGAGACGUAUCAUUGUCUUGAGAAGCUUCCCGUGAAUGUCAUCAUGACACCACCAGGGAAGAAGAUAAACCCUCGACCAAAGGCUUCAUACAGACAGAGGACCUCACAAGGUCACCCUAACGCCAAUGUUUUGCAGGGAAAUUAUCAUCAAACUCAUGAAUAUGAGCGUGUUUCUUCUAACCGCUAUGUUCACAAAUCAAAGAAUUUUUCUGCAUAUUCAUUUGAGUACUAUUCACCUCCUGCGAAACUAUUUGCUAGGGCUCCAAAGCCAAAGUUCUCUGAUGCUGCACUUAGACUCAUUGCUUCUAAGCCACCCCUUAAGAUGUGGGUGGUUAAGAAGAAUUAAGUUCGCUUGCAGGAUUGGGUCUCCAUCCGAAAAUCAUUGACUUCUGAAGACAAUGUUGGGGACCUAAAACAUCUUGUGGGAUGCAAGAUAAAGUGCCAAAAUGGUCUUACCAUUUAUUUCGUCCCUGGGUUUCUUGAUGAGCAUCCUAUCUUACCAUCCAAGAAUCUUAAUUUUGAUAGUAUGCUUGUUCGUCAAAUGUUUGUGCUUCACAAUACUCUUGGUGAAGCCUAUCCCGCUAACUGCACUGUAGGGUACAACUCCGGAAACUACUGAAUGGAUUAUGGACAGUGGAAGCACUAACCGCAUUGAAAGAACAUGCGGUGCCCCCAUGUUUGGUUUUGGUAAUUGAUGACAAUCUCUAUGGACUAAUGGUUGCCUUGAGUCAUAUUUGAAGGAUUUGUCCAUAGUCUUUUCUUGGAGUCCAUUUGUUGUUUUCAAGAAGAGUUUGUGAUGACCAAGAUUGGUUAUGUGAGUGUUGAGCUUAUUGCAAGCAUGUCUUGAAGAAGAAGAGUGUGUUAUCGUUCAAGUUCACCUUCAAGUCAUCAUCCAAAUGAAGAGAGUUGGAAAGGUUCAAGGUUGAUCAAGACUAAGUACAGAGAGUGAUUCAAGUUGAUCAACAAACAAAGCGUAGAAGAAGUACCUAGAGGGAUCAAGUCGUCCCAUGGUAUGGUAAGCAUUGUCCAUUACUCUUUGUGUACUAACCCAUGGUUUACGUGUGAGUUCUAUGUGGGGUUAGGUAUGUUUCCAUGGGCUUGUGUCAAGAGGAAGAUAUUAUACAACCCAUGGAGGAUGACAUCAAGCGGUGAUCGUCAUCAAGAUUGCAGUGUGCAAGUUCAAGUGGGGCAUCACGAAGAGAUCAAGUGCUUGAAGCUUGCCGUCCAUUAUGCUGUCAAUGGACUUGUGAAGAUGUGCCGAAGAGUAGCUCACCCACAGUGGAGUAUGGGGGAGCAAUCAACUAGUCUUCACCGAGCCAAUGCAAUCAACAAAGAUGGUCCAACUUGAGAAAGUCAAGAUCGUCUUCAUCCAUCUCAAGUGGACUGUGUGCAAGGCAAAGGUUUUCCCUUGAUAGGUUUUGUCGGGGAUAUACCCCGCGGUAUGACCCGGCCGGACUUGGCGCUUCACCGUGACCCGCCGGAGGACUGGCGACUCACGGGUCUGGCGGCUCACUGCCAGACGACUCACGAGCCUGACGACCCACGGAUGACCCCGAGGGUGGGUCAGAUAGAAGACUAGGCCCAAGGCCCAGAAGGCCGGUUCACGUUUAUGAUGGGCCGGCUUAAGAAGAAAGGGAUGACGAAUAUUUCCUUUACGAGGAAGCAAGACCCGGAUUUGUAAUUAACUUGUAAAGAGAAGAUAGACUAGUCCUAGUCCUACUAGGACUCCACAUGUAACCCGCCCCUCUAACUUAUAUAAGGAGGGGCAGGGCACCCCAAAGAGGGACGGGCAACAAGAAAUAAUCUCUAGGGCUAAACACCGAGAGCCGGAGCCGGCGACUCUCCGGUGAUCAUAAUGAGACUUAGCCUCAAACAGCACGUAGGGUUGUUACCGGAUGAUGUUUCCCGGGGCCCGAAGCUGUAUAAACCCUUGUCUUGUGCAUUGAUCCGCCCUGCGUCUCUCAUCCCAAUCAACCCCUCUCAAGCUACUACAUAGAUGCGCUGGCCUCAUGACUAAGUCCUUACACCUAGGACAUCUAACGUGUUAAUUCCACGACAGUUGGCGCCCACCGUGGGGCUCACACAUGGUGGUGUUGAGCUCUUGGAGGGAUCUCCCCAGGGAUCGAGGAGUUUGCAAUUUUCCAGAAGAAGAUUUUACAAUCCAUGAGAUUGGAGUUGAAGAAGAAAGUCAGGGUUGCGUCAUGAGAGCCGCCUCCGGGUCGUAUCCUCCGCGAGCCAUCUCCAAGUUAUUUCCACUGCGAGCCGCCCCGACCGUCGCCCGAGAGCCGCCUCCGGGUCGUAUCCUCCGCGAGCCAUCUCCAAGUUAUUUCCACUGCGAGCCGCCCCGACCGUCGCUGCGCCUCCGCCGUCUCACGUGUGCUACUCCGAUCACAAGCCGUUGAUCCACCAGCACCUGACUCCAAGCCGACCACGCCCGUGUGCCCGUGUAGCUGCUUCCGCCCUGGCCGGUGUCGACCCGCCGCUGCCUUGCCUUGUUGCGAGCCACCGUGACACACUGAACCACCGUGAGUCGCGAGCGGGCCUCCUCUGCUCGACCCUGUUCUGGGCCGCCUUUGCGACCUCGUCUCUGAAUCGGAACCGUCCUUCGUCUCGGACUUGGAAAGUCCGCUCGUCUCCAAGUCAAAGCCGCCUCGUCAGUCCGCCUCAUUGGGGGCUCCCGCCGAGUCGUCGCCCUCCACUUGCAGGGCCUGCCAAGAACCCCCUGUCAAGCUGCGACCCGCCUAGCCGGAUUCGGCCCCGAACCGCUGAGCUCCCCUCGCCGUGGCUUUCAAAAUUCGCCGGUGCGCCUCCGAGCCGUCUGUGCCGUCGCUCCGUGUGAUUGUGGUUCGGCCCGCCUCAAGCCGGUUCCACUAAGCCGCCAUUGAGGCCCACGCCCACGUUUUUGAUCAUCUACUGCCUCUGUUGUUGUGGCCGUGGGCACACCUCUAAGCCACUUCCGAAGCCGCCGUCGCGACGGGACUCUGCUACUACCAUGGAUGUGACCACGACCCGGAGAAGGAUUGGAUCGCACAGAGUCGGAUUUUGCCAUGACCGCGCUAGGCCGCUGUUGUCACCCUGCAAUUUUGCUUGAGCCGCCGCCACGCACUGAGCGGUCACGGCUGAGACCCGCCGCGUCGUUUCCAUCCUCUGCUAGGAGCUGCGCUGAGUCGCCCUUGGGCCUUGGCUGAGCGGCCUCACUUCCACCUCUCCGAGCCGCUUUUGCCGAGUCACUCGCCGCGCCUUGCCUCGCCGGUGUCCCUCCGCCGCGGACUCGCCGGGGCGCUGCUGAGCCGCCCACCUGCGGUCUCCAACCCGGUCUGGCCCGGCCAAGUGACCGGCUCCGCCAGGCUCACCGCGGGUUACUUCCGCCACAGCUGCUUCAGGGAGACGAGGUUGGAGGACAAGGAGCAAGUGGCUAUUACCUUGCUAUCGUUGCCCUGCACCCAGCUGUCAUGGUUGAUUCCUGGCCCUGGGCAGGAGUCCCAGUGGGCAAGUACAACUAUCAAAUUUCCAGCAGAUCAAUGACAGUCAAAGUUAGUCAAAGCAAGAAGCAAAGUACUACUGGAUCAAUCACGACAAGGCUGCUUUAAUUACUUAUUGGUGGACUACUAUCCCACGUGGAGGCCAGCAUUAUGCAUUAUGUCUGUGCUCAUCCGACAAAUCACCAGGUGUCGCAUAAGGUGCGUACCAAUAUCACUUUUGCACUAGCGUUUAUUGAGCCGCUGAGGCCGCGUUGAGCCGUUCCUGCGGUGGUGAGCUACCCUAUUGAGCUGCCCCCGCUGUGCUAAGCCGCCGGGGCUGCGCUGAGCCGCUUCUGCCGUGUUAAGCCGCUGGGGCUAUAUUGAGCCGCCCUUGCCGCUUUGAGCCGCCGGGGUUAUAUAAUUCGCCGGUCUGCCCGAGCCGCCGGAACUAUAUUGAGCCACCUCUGUCUCGAUAAACGUCGUCCAAACAAAUCAGGUGAUAUCCAUCCAAGUUUGUUUUAUUAGCACAUGUUGUUUUGUCAAAGAACAAGCUUAUCUCUGCCUUGAUCUGCAAUAUUGUUUAUGCAGGGCAAUUAUUUAUGACAAAAAGUGAUAUUAUACUGCGGAGAUGGAGGCACGCCAACAUCUUUUGGCACAGGUGGUCUUCGUUAUUCAACGGACCCCACACCAGCUUACAACACCGUAGCCGUCUCUUGCGACCGCCCCGGCUUACCACGCCGUGGCCGUUUCUUGCGAAUGCGCCGGUUUACAACGAGGAGGACAAUUUGCCCGUUUGCACUGGCUUACAACGCCACGGACGACUCGCCCGUCCGUCCUCGCGGCCGGUUCACGUGUCUGCGCCAGCUUACAACAUCGUGGCCGACUCGCUGCCCGCGCCGGCUUACAAAAGUCACGGCCGACUCACCCGUCCACACUGGUUUACCACGUCGUGGCCGGUUCACCCGUGAGCGACUUCAACUUCACCUAGCGAUCAUCAAUUUCAUGGCGGAUUAUUUCCGGCCUAGCACAUCAGGUGAUAUCCAUCUAAAAUAUAUUUUAUUGGUACAUAUUAUUUUGUCAAAGAGCAGUUUAUCUUUGUCUUGGUCUGCAAUAUUGUUGAUGCAGGACAAUUGUUCACUACAUCAAAACGACGUGGUUAACUCGCCCGACCGCGCCGGUUUACAACACCGCGGCCGGUUCAUCUGUCUGAGCCGCUUCUGAUGCUGAGGUCGUCUUUUCCGUCCGCCUCUCGCGGCCUGGUCUACAUCAACACACCGAGCCGCACCUAUCUGCAUGAGCUGUGUAUUGAGUAUGAGCAGGUCACUACUUGGGAAGCCCGGUUUUCUUCCAACAAAUUAGAGGCAAAUUAUCAUAUGUUAUCAGCCGCCGUCUGCACCUGGAUGGCUCAAUGGACAUGCGCACAAGUCACCAUCACUACAGUUUGGUUAAACUUCAAACAACCAGUUGGAAGGAACCAUUGGCCGAGUUGCUGACACGGCUCAUACGGGAACAUUUAUAACCCGCCGCAGUCACCUCAACCUUCUGUGGAUACACAUUGUGUUAUCAACACCAAUGAUAUACAAGUUAUGCCGGUUUAUAUCACGGUUAAAGAUGGAGAAUCUCAAGCCAACUCCUCGAGUCAUCUUGAGACUCGAGGGCUACAGUGACAUGACUCGGGAACCCCGGGUCGUUGGAGGGAAUGAUAACCCGGUUCCGGAGGCUGCUACCAUAUUGAUGAAACUUUAAAGGCCGUCAGAAAAUUGCCGGUUCAAAUAAAGAUUCCGGUUUAAAAUCCGGUUCAAGAGAUAUCUUUCUCCCGCAAAGUUUUGAAGCUCUCAAGUCCGGUUCAAACGUCCGGCUCAAGGUAAAUUUGUAUCUUAUAAAGCUUUGAAGCUCUUAAUAUCCGGUUUACAAAUUUCCGGUUCAAAAAGAAUUUAUCUCUCGCAAAAGUUCGAGUUCUCAGGAAAAAUUGAAGGGACCAAAAAGAGUCUGUUACAAAGCACAACCCAAACAUAGGUACCCUGCUUUAAUGACCAUUGGGAGCUGAUCGUAUUUGAAUUUAGCUUAACCCUUUAGGUGUGACCCUGAUCGUAUUUGAAUCAGAGUCGUUAAAUAUUCUCAUGAUCACUAGGGGGCUUCCUGUUCAA